GAAUAUAUGUUGUCUGGGGCUCCUACUCGGCGAGUGGCAUCAACCUACUCGGCGAGUAGGAUGAUUUUACUCAUGUACUCGGCGAGUUCAUCAGUGGACUCGGCGAGUACAGUGCCCAGAAAGCCAGAAAAUCGAGUUUUUCAGCAUUUUUCAGCAAUUUGCAUCAAGUAUAAGAGAAAGCAAGCCUAGGCUCUGAUACCACUGUUGGGUUUUGAGCAUUCUAACACUCCUAAGUGUACAUGCAACCCUAAAUACCUUGGAUCUAUGUUUUCUCUAUUAUACAUGCAAAUAAGAACAUCCAAGGUAUUAUCCUAAUCUAGCAUACAAAAACAAUGAGUAUAGCAAGAUAGAAUACAUACCUCUUUGGUGUAGAAAGUCUUCAUGAAGCUUGAGUGCCUAGUGCCCCAAGUGUGACACCUCAAAUGAAAUCACAAUCACCAAAACACUUAGAAUAACUUGAAAGAAUUCUACAACUCAUGAAAUCGGCUAGCCCUUUUACUUCACACUCUAGUGGCCUUUCUUGGUCAAGAAUAAGAUGCUUAUAUAGUUAGGGUUACACCAUGUAAACCCUAAUUGACAUGGCCUUUCAUUUCCAUGAUCCAUGGGUACAAAUACACCAUGGAGCAUCCAUGGACCAUCCUAUGGGUUUUAGCCCAACUUGAUUAUCCAUGGAGCAUUAGCCCACUAUAUAUUUAAUUAGUCUUCUUUUGAUCACUUAAUUAAUCCUAGAUUAAUUCUUGAUCAAUACUAAUUAAAUAAUCUUAUUAUUCUUAUUAUUAAUAUACUAGAACUUAUAAUAUAUUAAUAACCAUAAGUGUCUUAUUUCUCUCAUUAUAGUCUAUCUAAGUGCAUGAUGGUAUGCAACCCAAAUGGACCAUGCCGGGUCGGGUCAAGUCUUACCAAUUAUAGUUAUGGACUUAGACAUUAAUCCAACAGUGACAACUAUCAAUUUUGGGUCAAACAAUGUCAACCAAGUGAACUUGACUAGUAUUGGGAUGUUAGGAUAAGCAUGAUUUUUCUAAUGAUUCUAAUGUACAACUUACAAUUAUAAUACAAAGUAUCUCUCAGGAUUGCCAAUUAUCAAAUAUAAACCCUAAUUGGGGUUAAUAACGCAACAACUCGAUAGUUCAGUUAUAUAUUAUUUGGGAAUAAAUAAUAUCCGUAACAUAGAUGUAGUGGAGUUCAUAAAUCUAACACUAUGAGGCAAAUUCAUAACAAAGUAUACAAACACAACUUUUUGUGAAUUCAUCACCAAAUGCGACAAAGUCUAUACUUGUCCAAACACCAAAUCUUAACGAAACAAACUUAACAAUCCAACCUAACUGUUCAUAUAACGUAUUAUUAUUUGAUAACAAUGGUUUUUAUAAUAAUUUGAAUUUUAAUAACUCAAAUUAAAUAUUUUACACAUCCUUUAUACCCUAUUUUCUUUAUAAAAAUCCCAUCAUAUUAUAAAAAUGCUAGGAUUUAUAAAAGUCUGACUUUUAUUUUUGUAAAAGUCAUUAGUUAAUUACGAUGUACUCUUGUCUUAAUUAUCCAACUACUAACCCUAAAGUAGACCACCUUUAAGUCCCAUCCAUGUUCCCCCUCAUCACCCCUCAUAACUGUGACAACCCAAAAUUUUCCAUCCAGUUCAGUCAAACACUUCAUUAAAAGUCAAACUCAUUGCUAUUAUCUUUUAGCACAAUUAGAAGUUUAUUUGAGCAUUCUAAGCCUUGUACACUUAAGGAAUAAGUGUCGGGGUUUAUCAGCUGAAGUUUUAACUCAAAGAAAUGACCUUAAACACUCAUGCAAGGAGUUCACGGCCAACACAUGGGAUUUUACGGCCGUAAACUCCAUGUGGGCCGUAAACUCUUGCUUAUAUGAUGAAAAAGUGGUCAUUUGUUCAUUCCUCCUUUCCAUUUGGCUCAAAUCCUCUCAAGUAUCAUCCAGAUCUUCGUCCCCGAUCUUCAAAAAUCAUAAUUUUAUUGUCGUAACUAUUUGAUAUCUUGCAUGAACUAGUAAUCUUACAUGAUUUCAUCCAUGAAAUCAUUCCAUUUUGUAGAUCUUCAAGUUCACAAAGAACACCAAGAACACAUACUAGUGUUCUUGGCCAAAAACGACCAUUCGAGCUCCCAGAUCAUUAGUACUCUUGAUCCAAAUCAUUGUACAGUAGGUUUAUCAUAUUUAGGGCUUAGAAAACAUAGUAAAUCAUGGGAUUCAAGGAGUUUACAGCCAAGGCAUAUUCUUGAGCCGUAAACCCCUUUUAAGGGUGCAAAUGACACCCUAACACCUUAGUAAGCCUUGGUUAGUGACAUAGAACCUUACACUGUUGACCUAAGGACCAAGAUUCACGAAAUGGUACUCCUUACCAUGAGUUUACGGCCAUAAACUCAUGGGGAAGUAUUCCUAGGGCCGUAAACACCAUAUAUGGUCAUUUUAGGACCUUAAACCCACCCAAACACUUGUUUAAAGCUUUGGAGCACGUAACCACUUAAUCCCUUAGAGUUUUAAGCCCCUUUUGGUGACCAAUUGAGAGUUUACGGCCAGGAGUAAACUCCCCUGGGCCUUAAGCUCCAACAAACAUGGUCAUUGGACCGUAAACUCCCGUAUGAGCCUUGCACUCCUUUGUUGCAACCCGAUAGCCUCCUAGCACUUGACCAAAGUGUUUUCCUCGCAAUAGGAUGUUUAUACAUGUUUAAUUAGUGUUAUAAUCACUAAGUGUUUAUAUACAUAUGCCUUCAUAUGUAAUUAGGAUCAUUGUGUGUGUCUAAGUCUUCACUUGACACCAAGCACUUGUCCGACACUUCCUUCCGAUCCACUCACUGCAGGUGAGUUCAUACCCCUUGAUAUAACUUUUUAAAUGUUUUUAAAUGUUUAUAACUGAUUUAUGGGGGAUACAAGUUGAAUCAUGUUUAGUUAUUAUAUCAAUCACAUGUGAUUAAUAAUUAACAUGCAAAUGGAUUUACUAUAUGUUAACUGUUUUACCAAACAGAUUUCUUCAAAUGUUUAUCUUAAACAUUUUUAUGUGUUUAAAACUCUUUAUUAAACUGUUUAUUAAACACUAUAUGUUUCAUUUCAAACUCCUUUACAAUUGUGUUUCAAACAAAGGUUUCUUUAUACUUAAACUGUUUUAUCAAACAAAUACUUUCAAACCGUUUUAUAAACUAACAUCAAGUCGAUCUUUUCUUAGGUAUUAAUCUCUUUCAAAGGUAUUACAAAACUUCUUUUAUGCUUUUAUAUUAUCGAAUGCAUGCCCAUAUAUGUAUAGUUAUAUAAGUAAUGUUUAAAGGACUUAGGAAGGUUAUGUCACUCUAUUUCCUUUUCCUCGUUGGGAUGUGGCUAUGGAGUAUCAGUUAUCCGUCCAAAUGUCGUCUAAAUAUUAGUUAUAUAUAUCAUGUAUACAUAUGUAGACAUAAAAGUUUUCCUCAGUCAGUUCAGUACCUUUGGGUAGCAAAGGAAUACUUCAGGUUAUACACGUACAUUGUUAGUAACUAUUAUAGGUAUACUUAGGAGAUACUACUUACCGUUCCAAGUACAAGGAAUCACACAAGAGUCAGUUCAUUCAUGAGUCUAUACUAAUACAUUACAUGUUACAUGAGUACAUUUACAUAGAUAUGCUUACAUGAGUACGUUUACAUAGAUGUGCUUACAUGAGUAUGUUCACAUAGAUAUGCUUACAUGACUACGUUUACAUAGAUACGCUUACAUGAGUACGUUUACGUAGAUACUCUUACAUGGAUACUUUUACGUAGAUAAUAUAUGAUGAGUUACUAUUACAUAUUAUAUGUGUAGAUACUAUUAUAUAAUUCUCCUUCUUAUCUUUAUUUUGUGAUACAUUCACAUAACCGAUGAGAUAGACGGGACUUAAUAUCCUAGUACCAAAGGAUACUUUGUGGGACUAACCAUUCCUAUCACUGUUGUUAGAUACAGAGGUAAAUGCACAUCUACGGAUAUCUACGGUUGAUACCAUUAUAGGUAUACUUUAAGGGACUAACUAUUCCUACACCCAGCUGCUAGGUACAGAGGUAAAUGUACAUCUAUGGAUGUCUACAGUCAACACUGUUAGUUAUCCUAGUACAAAAGGAUGAUACUUAAGUUAUUUAUAUUAUUACCUUUAUCUUUUGACACUUUCACAUAACCGACGAGCUGAAUUAUAUUUGAGUAUCGUAGUACCUAAGGAUACAAUUUCUUAUAUUAAUAAUAAUAGUAAAACAGUCGGGUCUUGGUUGAAGACUACUUUCAAAACAGUUAGGUCUUGGUAGAAGACUACUUUCAAAACAGUCGCCUCUUCGUAGAAGACUACUUUCAAAACAGUCGGGUCUUGGUAGAAGCCUUCUUUCAAAACAGUUAGGUCUUGGUAGAAGAUUUCCAUUAUAGUGAUCAUAGGGAUUUCUAGGGCUUUCCAAACGCUUUCAACUACUUACAAACAUUUUCAUACUUAUAAGAGCUUUCUUUCAAAUCAAUAUCAAAUCUUUCAUUACAAGUCUUACAAAUCAAAGACACCUUAAUACUUAUGAAUUCACUAGCUUUUUGGCUGAUACUCGCUUUCAAAAUAACAUGUAUUCUCAGCUCACAAAUAGACAGGUACGAUGACCAGGUUUUGAUUAUUCAUUAUGUUGUCUUAUAUUAUGAAAGAAAACACUUGUAAUUAAAAUUAUACUAUUAAUGCAAUGGAUGAUGUUGUUGCUUGUUUACUACUUUACAUUAGUGUGAUACAUUAUAUGAUGUCCUCCGCCCCAGAACGUUUCCGUCGUUCUCGAUUUUUGGGGUGUGACAAUAACUCACUCUACCCACCCUGCCCACCCUCUUUCCAUCCCUCUCUUUAAGUUAUGGCCAUAAGGCCAUUUCCCUUCACUAUUGCUUCAUCUUUUGUUAUUCUUCUCCAAGAAAGGCUCUCAACUUCCAACCCUAAUUUCACCCAAGUUGAUUUUCAACUUUUGGUAAGUACUUCCUUCAUGAUCUAGUGAUUCUACACACACAUAUAUGCUAGUUUCAGUCCAUUUACACACAUUAUCAUGUGUUACUAUUCAUAAGAUCUUCAUAUCUUCAAAGUGUUUUUCAAGUGUUUUUGACUUGAAACAUUCUAUCUACAACCUUCCAUUCAUCAAGAAAACACACAUAAGGUGAGUUCAUACCCCUUCAUUUUUCAGAUUUCUAUGUUUUUGGGGAAGAAUACAAGUAAACUUAUAUAAGUAUACAUUUUAUUAUGCAUACUAAAUUACAUGUUGUGUAAAAGUGCUAAAAACAUGAAAUAACAUUAUUACCAUGCUUUAUAAACACUUAUAUGUAAAAUUAUGUUUAAAAUACAAAACUAUGAGAAAAAGUAUAAACAUGUUAUAUGUUUUUAUGAAAAACAUAAAAACACGAAACUAUAAAAAGUAGGUUUUUUUAUGAGUGUAAUAUGAUUUUUCUAGCAAAAAUGGUUAUAACCAAGUUACUACACCAUUUUUGUGGGAUAUAAACCAAAAUAUGUUAUUUUGGACAUAUGAAUUGAAACUAGUAAAAAUACCAUAAAGUUAGAUUUAGAAAAAGAAAACUUCAAAAUUUAUCAUUUUAUGCAAAAGUGGGUUUUUUAACAGCAAUGCCCAUAACUAGGUUAUGGUACCAUUUUUGUGGGUUUUGACCUAAAAUAUAUUGUUUAAAACAUACAAAGAUAACUUGACUUAAAAAUCACUAAAAGGUAAAGACAAGUUUUACAUAACUAUAUUUCACUAUUUGCCGUUUGUGAUGUUAAAAGUCAAAAACUAGAAAAAUAGACAUUUUCAUACUAAGGACUCGCUUAUUUGUGCUAGAUGUAAAAUUACUUGCUAAUUAUAAAUAUCUAAGCAUGCUAGCCUCUAUAUAUGUAUAUAUAGGUACAAAAAUAAAAUAUUAUAAUAAACUAUAUAAGUAUAGUUUAUGAAUCAUUAACACUAUUGUAACAUGUUGAGCAAAGUGGAUAAUUAUAUAAAGACAUAUAUGAUUAUUUUAUACUAUUUUAUUGUCAUGGAAAAGUGAUAAUUACACAUACAAAGGUUUUCAUUACAACAAAACAUUGACAAUAAACUAUAAUAGGUAUAGUUUAUGGGUCAUUGAUAUUAUUCUACCAUUUUGGGAUACAAUAAAAAUGAUUAUUUAAAGGUAUAAUUAUUUUACACUAUGUAAUUUAUGGAAAGGUAUUAUUUACUCUUACAAAAAGGAAUUCAUUACACUAUACGUAAACCUGUUAAUAUAACUUUGUGAUACAUAGUCUUCACUGUACCUACCAGAGUACCUACAAAAGUCCUGUGUUAUAACCAUAAUCUCCCGUAAGAGAGUGUGACACUUGUGUAUAGAUCUAUACAGGACUGACAAUCCCAUACCUAAGUUGUUAGCUACAGCUAGACUGGUAGGUAUGAGGUGACAAAUUUCAUAACAUUCUGACGCUUGAAGAACGCCGUAAUAGGCCAUCUAUAUCUUUAGCACAUUUAUAACAACUCACAUUGGGUAUUAACAAUACAUUUGGUUUACAGGGCUAACAUAUAUUCAUAUGGUUUUAUAUAAGAAGAAAACUACAUAAUACUACUUCUGAGUAUAGAAAUACUUAUACAUUUUUGGUCUUAGGGUUUUAAGACUACAACUCAUUCUUAAGAAAAUAUUGGAUUUUCUGGAAACAUACACUCAAAUGGUUUUAUAUAGAUUAAAACAACAUAUUACUAUUUUAAGUAUAGAAAUACUUAUACAUAUUGGCUUUAGGGUUUCUAAGACUACAACUCAUUUUUAAGGAAAAUAUUGGAUUUUUUGGAAACGAACACUAUCAUUUUACAAGGAAAGGAUUACAAUUCUUCAUAAAAACUCUUAUGAACCCACCAACUUAAUUUUUGACAAUUUUCAAAACUACUUGUAUUCUUAGGUAAUCAUUAAAGCAUGUAACUACAAGCUUUUGAGGAUGGGACACUAAGAAGUUAAAAAAAUCUUCUAAAUCGUCAUACUAUAAUUGGUUUUGAAACAUACAACUCAUACAACAAUGUAACUCUUUCAAUUAUAUUUAUGAUGGUUGUUUUUUUGCUUUAAUCACUAUUAUUCAUUAUGUUAUGAUACAAUACAUGAAAGCCAUCCACCCGCAGACGGUUUCGACAUCCUGGUUUGGGGGUGUGACAUCUAUGAAUUUUACAAGACAACAUGGCCAUGUAGCUAAUUUCUUACCUGUCAGGGAAAAAGACGACUUUGACCUUGGUUAGGUACAAUAUCAGGUCUUAGUAAAAAUCAUGGACAAACUAGACUCAAAAUUAAAACUUAUUAAUUUAUGGAUCCCUAAUCCGACUCAUGAUGGGUUUUUUUUUUUUUUUAUUUUCUUUUCAAAACAGGGAUAGAUUGAUAUUUUUUUAUAAUUUACCAACAUUACAUUUUAAGGGUUAAUUGACAACUUAACCUAUUAAGCCACAACCAAAAUCAACUAUAAAUAUGGAAAUUGAUUUAUUAACAAUAGCAACUGUUGGGUCUAAAAUAUUGGUUUAUACUUUACUUUUAUAGGAAAAUGUAUUUUUCAGUCAUGCAAUAUGUGUUUGCGGUUGUGUUUACAGUCGUGAACUGGUUCAUGGCCGUGAACCUGUUCACGACCCAUGUUCCUUACAUAUAUAUAUAUAUAAUUAUUUUGUACUAUUUUAUUAUCAUGAAAAAAGUCAUAAUUACACAUACAAAGGUUUUCAUUACAACAAAACAUUGACAAUAAACUAUAAUAGGUAUAGUUUAUGGGUCAUUGACAUUAUUCUACCAUUUUGGGAUACAAUACAAAUGAUUAUUUAAAGGUAUAAUUAUUUUACACUAUGUGUUUAUUAUUGAAAGGCAACAUUUCCACUUACAAAAAGGGUUUUCAUUACAUUAUACGUAAACGCAUUGAAUCAAUUUCGUGAGACAAAGUCUUCACCAUACCUAUCAAGGUACCUAUAAAAGUCUUGUAUUAUAACCAAAAUCUCUCGUAAGAUAGCGUAAUACUUGUGUAUAAAUCUAUACAGGACUGACAAUCCCACACCCAUGCUAUUAGCUACAGUUAGACCGACGUAUCUUGGGUGACAAAUGUCAAAACAUUCCGACGCCUGAAGAACGUCGCAACUGGCCAUGUAUCUCAUCAGCACGGUUAUAAUAACUUACAUGGGGAAACAACGAUACAUUUAGUUUAUGGGGAAACGUUCAUUCAAACGCUUUUUUUAUAAAUUAAAACUUCAUAUUACUAUUUUAUGUAUGGAAAAUACUUGUACAUUUCGAUAUUAGGGUUCUAAGAGUACAACUCAUUUUUAAGGUAAAUAUUGGAUUUUUCUGGAAAAAACACUAUCAUUUUACAAGGAAAGGCUUACAAUUCUUCAUACAAACUCUUGUGAACUCACCAACUUAAUUGUUGACACUUUUCAAACCUCUUGUAUUCUCAGCAAAUAAGUAAAACAAGUAACUACAAGCUUUUGAGGAUGGGAUGCUGAGGCGUCUGACAAAUCUUUUUAUCAUCAUAUUGUAAUUGAUUUUGAAACAUGUAACUCUUAUAACAAUGUAACUUUUUCAAUUAUAUUUAUGAUGUUUGUGUUUUCUUUUGUCACUAUUAUGCAUUAUGUUAUGAUACAAUACAUGAAAGUUAUCCACCCCCGGAAGUUUUCGUCAUCCUGGUUUGGGGGUGUGACAAUAGAGGUACUCGAUGAGUUGAGUUAAUGUGUCCCGAUUCUAUUAAAAAGACAGAGCUCGGCGACUUGAGGGAGGGCUCGACGAGUUGAUUCGAAAAUGCACGAUUCUAAGAUUAUUGGGAACUCGGCGAGUUAAAUGAUAACUCGACAAGUUGAGUCAACACGGACCGUUGACUUUGACUUUGACCAUAGUUGACAUUAAUGGGUUAUGAGUAUGAAAUGGUAUCUACGGGGUUAUUUUGGUUCAGGGGUGAGUAGAGCAUAUUACGGGGAAGAGACGUUUCAGCUAUCAUCUGAGAUUAAAGGUGAGUUUUCCUCCUGUUUGAACGGGUCGAAGGUGUUGGAUUAGGUGUCUAAGUUCAUUACUAUUUUGGGAUGUAAUUGACCCGAUCAACAUGGUCCAUUUGGGUUGCAUGGCAUCAUGCAUUUGGAUAAACUAAAAUGAGAGAAAUAACACUUAUGGUUUAUUAAUAUAUUACAAGUUCUAAUAAAUUAAUAAUAAUAAUAUUUAAUUAGUAUUGAUCAAGAAUUAAUCUAGAAUUAAUUAGGUGAUCAAAAGGAGACUAGUUAAAUAUAUAUGGGUUGGUUGUGUAAAUCAUCCAUACUUGUACAGUGAGCUAGAUACUCCAUGGAUUAUCAAGUUGGGCUAAGGUCCAUAGGAUGCUCCAUGGAUGUGCCAUGGGAGUUACAAACCUGUAAAGCCCGAAAACGGAUCUACCAAUGAUCAAAGACAAAUAACAGAAGCAAAAGAUAAAACAAUAAGCAAAUAACAAACGAACCAAGCUUGCAUACACCUUCAAGCAAUAAAACAUCAGAUACAACUUGGAGAAAUCAUGAAGGCAUCAACAACCUUUAAAGUCUGACACAACGCCCUAUUUAUAGACCUGACUUACAACCAUGAGGUGUUUACGGCCGCAAGGAGUUUACGGCCGUAAACACAUAACAACCGUAAACUAGAAAAAAUUGGUUUUUCCUACAGAAUCACUACCACUAACUAGUAUGCCUAGACCAAACCAUUAUAUAGGGUCUUUCAAUCUCCCCCUUGGUUUGGACUAGCUCGAACCCAUUCCUUUGUUGACAACCAUCACGUCCAUCUGGCCCAUUGCUCCAUUCCACAUUCUCUUGCUUAGAAUCUCCGCGACCAUUGUUGUCUACACCUUGGCUCCUUCCUCGUAUAUAUCUUCAACAACUUUAAUUUGAAAAUUGCUAAGAUAAUGAAUAUCCCACUUCUUGAAUUGCAGCAAGUCUCUACGAUCAUACAAACGGAUACACCCAUUUUUAACUUUGAUGACCGCUCCACAUGUAUUUUCAUCAUAGACCCAGCAUUCCAAAGAACUGAGAGAUCCAUCCUGAUAGCCUUGAAGAAUCGGAAAUUGCUUGACCUGCUUCGUUGGAGGCCACAUAACCACCUGUAAUGGCUUGUCGGUAGUUUCUUCAAAGACAUCUUGGUGUUCAAAUAUAACUGAUUCUGCCGUCGGCAUCGAUGGAAAUCCUUUAUUUACUUGAUCAUCCAGAAAAUGCUUAAACUGAGUAACCUGAGGAGUGUUGAAAUGAUUGAUGAAUGGAGCUUGAGACAACUCCGUCAGAUCAAUUCUCGUAAACGAUAUAAAUGCAUGAAUAUCCUUAUACAACUCUGAAUUGCCACUUUUACGAAUGACAAUCCACAUUCUGAGAGGGUCAUGAAGUCCCCAGGCAGCCACUCCUGAUCUAUCUCCAAAUGUAUCUCGGAACCUAACAACUUCAAGAUCAGUAACAGUUAUUAAGGGUUCGCUUCGAGAUGUAUUCCAAUUAGUAUUCCGUUUAAACAAUAAUUGUCCUCUCUGAACAUCAUCUUCUUGAUUACGACGAAUAAGUUCUUGAAUGUGUGGAGCCAAUGGAGGUUCAACUACAACACGUUCAGCAGUGCCAGAAGACUGACUGACUGGUAGGUCAACCGGAAAAGCUUGUAUGUGAAGAUUAAUCCUUUGUUCUUCAACGGACGUCUUGUAUCUCUCACCAAGAUCAACUUCAAGUUUCUUCUUUAGCUCAAAAUAGCUUGAAGUCAGCAGAUUAAAAUGAUCUUGUAAAUCGGAGAUCUGCUUGCUUUUCAGCUUCUUAUCCUUCUUUAGUUCAGCCAGUUGUCCGCCAAGACUAGACUUAUCUGAUUGUAGCUUGGAUACUUAGAUACGAAGAUCGACAUUCUCGGCACGAAGCUCUGCCACCUGAAUAUCGAGUCAAUGUUUUUAUGGCUAAGAACCAAAAUUUCUUUCUGUAGACCAGCAAGAGUAAGAUUAUCACCCUUAGCACCCCCUUCAUCAAUAGAGACACCUUUUUCUCGAGAACCAGGCGAUAAAAGUUGUUCUUCUGCCAUGUGUAGUGCUAGCCUUUCGGAAGCAACAUCCCGAUUAAAUCUAGGAACUGAGAAACCGGGCGGUGCAGAGGGACCAGCAAUAUCAAAAGCUGAACUAGGACUAGUUGGGAACAUCUUUGUAGUGGUGAGUCUUGUAGUAGUAGUAGUGACAGGCGUGGUAGGAAGACCGCUAACCAAACUUGCAAUUAGUUCAGAUUGUCUUGCAUCAAGUCUUCUUCUUUUAGAUUGUGGUUGGUCAGCUUCUGGAGAAAACACACUCACAAACGGUUUGGAAGUAGGAGAAACGGACACAGGAGGGGAACAUCCCAUAACCAUCUCCAUAGGAAUAGAAGUCGACACCAUUUGCUUUGAAGUAGGAGUUCGUGUUUCAAACGUCUCGCUCGAUUUCCUUGUCUCCGUUGUUUGUAAAACAACAUCAUCGACAUUGUGGAAAAUUGUGUCAAGAUUUUCAUGAGACACAACAUUAGCACUGCUUGCCAAAGAAGCUGCAAUGUCAUCAUGAUCAAAACCAUUUAAGUCAUGAUCAUCAAUAGAAUCACUUCUCUCUUCACCAAUACUCAUCUCUCCACCAACUUGAUCAUCACUCAAUUCCUUUUCAUGUUCUUAGACAGUUUGAGCUUUGGGAGUUAGUGAGUCUUCUUUCUCGGUUUCUUCAUCCUCAGAUACAUCUAUAACAAUGUUGGAUGGCGUUGAUUUCUCAGCAGAUGUUUGCUCCGAGGAUGUUUGCUCGGACAACUCGUAAGACUCUGGUGGUUCAUCUAGUUCUGUAAGUUUCCCAAACUUUUCAAGAGGAUAUAGUCCUUGAAAUAUGAAUUUGCCUUUCCGAUUCUGUUUGAUGAGUCCCACCAUGUGGGGACCCAAGGACUUCAUAUCCAAUGUUUCUCCUGUCUUCCUCACGUCUGGAAACUGAAUAUUAAUGAUCAUUUGCACGAAAUGGGGAUACAACAGAAAAGUAUCCCGAGUAGAAGCUCUGACGUUGAUAACAAAUUCCUCAAGGAUGAACUUUGAGAAAUUAAAGCGAAACCUAGCAGCAAGAGAUACCAGAGCACCAGUUGUGCGCUGAGAAAUCUCAUCUGCCCCAGACCUCCUUCCCGAGAUGCAGCUUACGAAAACAUGGGCCAAAAACCUCCAGUAUGGAUGUAACAACUUUUUCAGCGUCGGUGGAAAUGUUCCCUCAUAACUCAUUCUUCGCAGAAUUCUUUGAGUAUCUUCGAUUCCAACACUGUCGGGAAGUUGGGUUGAUCAUCAAUUAACAACACUUCACGAAUAACGCCUUCAUUAAUGACAAUCUCUUGACCCUGUACUUUCGCCUUCACUGUAAAGACCCUUUUGAAAAGUUAACACACAAUAUUUCCUUAUUUAAUACAUUCAAAACUUAAGCAGUGAACUCAUUGUUCUAGGGCAGUAAACUAGGAGUUUACGGCCUAAGAACUGUCAAUCGAAAAAUCGGCAAAAAUCGAUCCUGCACAUCGAAUUGAUGCGCAAUACUUGAAGAUAUGUAAAUGUAAAAAUCAGUAGCAUCAAUAUAAAUUAGAAACAAAUCCAAAUUUCAAACACUUGGAGUUUACGGCCGGAGCUUACGACCAUAAGCUCCGUCGUAUCUAUUUUUGUGAUUUCUGGCAUAAUGGCACGGUGAAACACGAAACAAAAUACAUAUUUGUGAUCUAGAAGUGAUUACCUUUGUGAUGGUGUAAGCGGUUUUUCGAAAAUCAAAGAAAUUUUUUUGAGCCUUUUGAGAGGGUUUAAGAAGUGUUUGCGGCCGGAAUCUCGUGAAUGAGGAGAUUCCGGCUGUGAACUCAUUUUUACCCAUUUUCACCCUCACUUACUCUCUCACCUGAUAACUACCCAGUAUUUUCAAUUUCCAACAAUUAAAAUUAACAAAAACUUUGAGGAUUAAUUUAAUUUCGAAAAUAAAAAUAAAAUAAAAUAAAACCUAACAAAAUACAAUAAUAAAAAAACAGGCAAUAUAAAAUAAAAUAAAACAGUAAAAAUAAAAAUUUAAAAAUAAAAUAAAAUAAAAAAUUAAAAUUAAAAUUCAAAAGCGAAAAUAAAAUUCAAAUAAAAAUUUUACACAACAAAAAAACUUAACCACUAUUACUUUUGUGAUGCUUGGAUCAAAGUUAUUGGACAAUCUUAUUUACUUCUCGGUACCCUCGUCUUCACAUUCCCGUCUGAUCGAUUGCCAGUGUUGUGGUCCACUUAAACACGAAAAACAUUUGACAUAUUUGGACACUUUACCAAUGACAAGAUUCAGGCAUAUAUCUAAUCAUAAAUAUCUAUUAUUAUGAUAAAUCCUAAAUCUUAAAUACAUUUACCCUACGACCAUUUAACUGACUGCAACCAAGGAUAUUGUUGUCCACCUAACUCGAGCAGCGAGAUCUACAAACAAUCUGUAUGUGUUCAAUUUUUAAGUGUACUAGAACGUGUUUGCCGCUUCCUAAUAUGCUCCAGCCAUCAAGAACUUCCAGAGUACUCCUUACACCGGGUGAGCAGACAACCAUUCAAAGAGAGGAUAGUUUCAGAAUUCUAUUACUUAUUACUUCAGAGGGUUUGAGAAGUAGAAGGUUGCAUAUGCUGUGUACCAGGUCGGAUUAGAAGUCACGCAGAGGGGACAACAUAUGGCUAACAGAUAAGAAGUAUUUCACAUAUAUAACAUGCAGAGAAAUAGAGUUGCAUAUGUUGUGUACCAGGUCGGAUUGGAAGUCACGCAAAGGAGACAACAUAUGUCUAACAGACGGAAAGAAAGAAAACAAUUUUCUACAACCUAAUUUAUCGGAAUUUACCAGUCACCCCAUCCAACUGGAAUUAAGGACAUAAUCCACACAUCGAGGAAAAGUGAAUCCACAGUUCUAGAUACGGGUUGUUUAAUGUGACUGGUAGAUUCCCAUGUAUAUCUCCCUGCUCAACCUAUCCGAGCAUCGUGACAUCAGGUUAAACGGAUCAAACUAGGUCAAAAUUUGUCAAGUCCAUAAAAGUUAUUAGGUUCAACUUUCCUUAGUCAAGUCCAUUUAAAAUCUUUCAUGCCUACCAGCACAUCGAGUACACAGCGUAGACGACUCAACUUAGCUAUGUUACGCCGAUUCAGAUUGUGCAUUAUCACAUGAUAAUUUCAUUUCCCAUCACAGUACUUACAACCGAAGUUGUCAACAAUAAAUUUUAAAAUGCUGAACAAAAAUGACACUAUUUUUUGUUUUUUAAUUUUUUUUGUUGUUUUUGGAUUUUUAUUUCUCCCCCUAAAUUUGUGCAUGGGUGAGAAUACGAAUAAAAAAAAGCGCAAAUUUUAAACUAACCAAAAACAAAAAAAUGAAAAUGUAAACUAAUAAAACCAAAAAUAAAUUUGAGAAAAGAAAAAUAAAUUAAAAAAUAAAAAUAAAAAACUUAAUCCUCAAAACGUAUCAUUUUCAUAAAUCCAACAAGCACAUCGAAACGAGCUUUGUUAAAUGGCUUUGUGAACAAGUCCGCCACAUUGUUAUCAGUGUGAACUUGUUCGAUUCGAAUUAAAGAUCGUUCAUAAUAGUCUCUGAUAAAGUGAAUUUUAAUGUCGAUGUGCUUGGUUUUAGAGUGUUGGACUGGGUUUUUAGCUAUUUGAAUUGCCGCUUCAUUAUCACAAUAGAUAGGGGUUUCGAAGUAAUUCAAACCGUAGUUCAACAGCUGAUGUUGGAUCCAGAUAACUUGAGAACAGCAAGCUGAUGUAGCAACGUAUUCCGCCUCUGUUGUUGAAGUCCAAACAGUGUGCUGUUUCUUGCAUUGCCAUGAAACUAAUCUGUCAACUAGGUAUUGACAUCCUCCUGAAGUUGAUUUCCUGUCAAACUCACAGCCUCCAUAAUUACUGUUAGUAAAAGCAUAUAGAUCAAAUUCAGAAUUUUUCAGAUACCAAAGACCCAAUUUAAGGCUUCCUUUGAUAUACCGAAAAAUUCUUUUAACAGCAAUAAGAUGAGAAAGUUUAGGAUUAGCCUGAUAUCGUGCGCAUUGACAGACUGCAAACAUAAUGUCAGGUCGACUUCCAGUAAGAUACAUCAGCGAUCCGAUCAUUGAUCGAUAUAGAGUUUGAUCUACGGACUUGCCUUCAGGAUCUGGAGUCAGGAGAGGUCGUUCAGCCAUCGGUGUAGAAGCAGGUUUAGCAUUGUGAAGUGCAAACUUCUCAAGAAUAUCCGCCACAUACUUGGCUUGAUGUAGCAGGAUUUCGGUUGAAUUCUGUUUAACCUGAAGCCCCAAAAACAUGGUCAUUUCUCCCAACGAACUCAUUUCAAAUCUUUUCUUCAUUACACUUUCGAACUCCUUGCAAAGCUUUUGACUCGUUGAUCCAAAGAUUAUGUCGUCGACGUAUAUUUGUACGAGUAUCUGGUCCUUGUCGACAUGCUUUAUGAGCAAUGUUUGAUCGAUAGUGCCGCGAGUGUAACCAUGUUCGAGCAAAUGCUUUGUUAGGGUUGCAUACCAUGCUCUAGGAGCUUGAUGAAGCCCAUAUAAUGCUUUGUCCAACUUGUAGACAUGAUUAGGAUACUUCGAGUCGACAAACCCUGGAGGUUGAUCAACGUAGAUUUAUUCCUUCACCUUGCCAUACAAGAAGGCAGUCUUGACAUCCAUUUAAAAAACAGUAAAGUUCAUAUACGCAGCAUACGCUAGGAAGAUACGAAUAGCCUCCAGACGAGCUACUGGAGCAUAAACUUCAGUGUAGUCAAGACCCUCGACUUGUCGAAACCCAUGAACUACCAGUCUAGCUUUGUUUCGCACAAUAACCCCUGAAUCGUCCUGCUUGUUACGAUAGACCCAUCGUGUGUCAAGAGACAUUUUGCCCUUCGGUAACUCAAAUAACUUCCAAACACCGAGUUUUCAAACUGGUGCAAUUCCUCAUGCAUUGCAUCCACCCAGCUAGGUUCAUUUAGAGUCAUUUCUACAUUCUUGGGUUCAAUCUGUGAGAUAAAGCAAGAAUACAGACAUGUAUUUACGUCUCCACUCUGGCUUCUAGUUUUAACACCAUCAUUUAGCUGGCCAAUGACAUUUUCGAUCGGAUGAUUGCGUUGAACUCUUGAAGGUAUUUCUUGGCUGAUAUCAUUUAGAGAAACAGGAAGAGUGUAAAUGUUGAUACCUUCUUCAUUUGCUGGUUGGGCAGCACCAGAUGGUUCUGCGACAUACUCAUCUGCAAUAAGAUCAGGAAAGAGUAAUUCCAUAAAUGUUGAGGAUACACCGGAAGCAUCGUUUGGAAUGAACUCUUUCUCUAUAGAUAUAUGAGGUUGUGUUCCAGCAUCAGAAGAAUCAGUAUGGACUGAUUCAGGACUAUCAUGUUCCAAGAAUGGGCUCCCAUGAGGAGAAGAAGAAGACUCUCCCGAGAAUGUAGAAGAAGACUCCCCCUCAGGUGCAGCAGAAGGCUCCCCCUCAGAUGCAGCGGAAGGCUCUCCCUUAUGCAAACUAGAGGUCACUCCCUCAAGUGAAGCUUUAGCUUUCCCUUUUGAUGAAGCAGAGGAUUUAGAUACGGGCUUGUACACAACUUCUUCGUCUUCAUCUUCAGAGAUGCUCUUCCAAUGCGAACCAGUUCUAGAUACAUCAUUUGAAUACACGUUUGUGGAUUUGAAAAGUGACGUAUAAUCAAAUAGCCAAUCCGGACCCACUCUUGCGUCUGUCUCAUUUUCUUCCAACCAACGCACGUCAUAGGAUUCCACAAUCUGUUUGGUUUUCUUAUUGUAGACUCUAUAAGCGGUGCGAGCAACAUACCCUACAAAAUAACAGUCAUCGGCUUUGGCAUUAAACUUUGGGUUGGCAUCUAGGUGAAGAAGGGUGCAAGGACAGCCAAAUACUAGGAAAUGACUGACUGACGGCUUGUGUCUAUAGUAAAUUUCAUAUGGAGCUUUCAUUUGAGCUUUGUUGAUAAGCACUCGAUUCUAAACAUAACAGGCAGUGUUUAUUGCCUUAGCCCAAAAGAAAACUGGUAGCUUUGAGUCACACAACAUCGUUAUUGCAGCGUCUUUGAGUGUUCUGUUCUGCCUUCCAACAACACCAUUUUGUUGAGGUGUAUGAGCUGAACUAAAUUGACACAGGAUACCCCUUUUAGCGCAGAAGUGAUUGAGGACAUAAUUCUUAAACUCUGUUCCAUUAUCGGUACGAAGCGCCUUCACCCUAUGAUUGGUCUGAUUCUCAACAAGUACAAUGAACUUCUUGAUCAAUUCAAUGACGCCAGCUUUGUUGGAUAGAAAGAAAACCCACGUAAAUCGAGAGAAAUCAUCAAUCACAACUAAACAGUAAGAGCUUCUGUUGAUUCUUAGCACGUUCACUAGACCAAACAAAUCCAUGUGAAGUAAUUGAAGAACCUGACUGAUUGAGUUAACCUGUUUUGGCAAGUGCGGCUUUCGAUGAUGCUUUCCUUGAGCGUACGACACACAUUUUUCAAACGUAAUAAAGUCUUUGAACGGCAAUCCACGGACCAUCUCAUUCUUUGCAAGACGAUAUAGAUUCUUGGCGUUAGCAUGACCUAAUCUUCGGUGCCACAGCAUUGCAAUUUCCUCGGAGAUCUUGGAGAAUAAACAAGUAACUUGUUCUGGGAGAUUGCUAUUCAUAUCAAUGAUAUAGGCAUUCCCAUCCCUUUUUGAUUUUACGAGAAUCCAUUCUUCUGGGAUGACAAAGCCUGGCUUUAAGAUCAUGCAUUCCUUGUUAGUGAAAUGCAUAGAAUAGCCCUUGUCACAAAUCUGAGAAACGCUUAACAGACUGUGUUUCAACUCAGGAGCGAAGUUCACGUUUUCGAAACUUAGAACUCGAUUUGACACGGUUCCUCUUUGAGUGAUUUUGCCUCUAUCUCCACCCGUAAAAGAGACAUACCCCCAUUAAAUGAUUGAAUGUUGUUCAGUUGGAUGAUAUCUCCCGUCAUAUGCCGGGAACAACCACUGUCGACGAACCAGGGUCUGACGACAUUUCCCCGUAACUGUCCCUGCAAAAUGGGCGGGUUUAAUUAGAUUUGGGCACCCAGGUCUUGAUCUUCCUGGGUGAGGACACAGGUGAUGUAUUGGGAGCAGAUUUGGGCCUCCAUUUAUAAUUAGGUUUUCUAAAUGUCUUAGUUAACUUAGUCAUUUUAUGCUUGACAGUCUGCUCAAAGCACGUGUGACUUCUACCAGAGUUGGUUGAAGAUGCACUACUGCUUUGGGAUGAGCUUGACCUUGGCGUGGCUAGGCUCCUUUUUGGUAGACUGCUUGGGACAUGGUGAUUAAAAACCUUUUUAUGUCUGUGAAAAAUAUCCCUUUUUCUAUUUCGUUCAUCUGCCCAAUCAUCAUUUCGAGAGCGACUUCUAGAGGAAUUUCUAUUUAAAGACCUUCCUCUGAACUCGUUCUCCCCUCUUGGAAGAUUAUGACUCAAAAACAUUCGAUUAAGACAAUUUCUAGCAAUAUGACCACUAGUACCACAAUUAAAACAAAUCUGCUUGUUAUUAUUAGAACUUCUGCUGCAUUUAUCAGAUUAGUUUUCCCUACAAACACCCUUGCUUCUCUCACAAGAACAUGCAACAUUAUUAGGUUGUGAGGCAAGUGAGGGUGCUAUACUUGUGGAGGGUUGUGAAACUAGUGGUGUCUCAACAUUUUUAUCACAAAUAUUCAAGUUGUCAACCAAAUUGUUCAAAAAUUUAUCAGACCUAUUAGAAGCACUCAAAACAGUAUCAGAAGUAACAACUACUGUAUCAGAAGAAUUAAAAACAGUAUCAGACGAGUCAAAAACACCACAAUAACUAUUGUCACUCAAAACAUUUGAAAAAGAAUUGUCUUUGAUUAAAACUAAAACUUCAGGUUCAGACUCAGUUUUAUGUUCAGACACAAAUCCUUUAACUUCGUGCGGUGACUGAUUCAAGGAUUGAUCUGUAGGAGAAGUAGAAAUGUUAGUACUGUCAACAUUAACAAAUCCUCCCGAAACAAAACCAUAAGAUUUGCCAUAAACCAUAGAAGAUUCAUUAGCAAUUUCUUCCUUGGACAAUGGCUUAUGUAGAUAUGAAUGAUUAAUAGGAGGUGGCACAUUAUUAUAUCCUAGACCUUUUGAUUGAUUUCUCUUAAAAUUCAUGGUGUGAUCUAUCAUAUUUGCAACUACCUCACUUGAAUGAUCAUUUUUCGAACAUCAAGCUUGGCAGUUUCAAAUUGGCUACUUAAGGAUUCAAUUUCGGCCACUAGUUCUGCGUUUUGUUUUACUACAUAAUCAUAGUUUUCACAUUUAUUACUGUAGUCCUCCUGUAGUUUUCUAAAGUCAUUUAUUUUUUAAUCUAGUUGAGCCUUAAGAGGUUUCUGACCUUUCCUAAGUUGAUAUCCUUCAUGUCUAAGGUCUUCUACGUCCCUUUUUAAUUUGUCAUUUAAUUCACGAAGGACUUUAAGGCUAUCUAGUUCGCUUUCUAAAUUUUCAAUUUUAUCAUUUAGGGUUUUCACAUAAUAAAUACAAGCCUGAGAACAGGAUGGGAGACUUACCUUGGAUGUGUUGGGUUCAUUGGAAGAGGAUACCAUCAGGGCAAACUGGAGCUUCAUCACGCUGUCCUCAGCAGCAACAAUCCCUGCUGGUGUAUCAUCCCUUACCUGUGCCAGGUGAGCAUUUUUUGGUCCGCAGAUGUUAUGAGCUUGUAUUUGAUCUUCCCAGUCAAACAAUUGUGCAACCAUAGCCUUCUCAUUGUUCGGUUGCCCACUGCUUCGGCUUCUUCCCAAUGCAACAAUUGUUCUGUCAUUAUUAAGUCUUAUAUCGGGAUGAGGACAAUCACGAGCAAAAUGCCCUGGCUCGUGGCAGUUGAAGCACUGAAGCUUUCCUUUAUUGAACCCAACCUUCCUAUCAGCGCUCAUUCCCCAAUUAUUAUUUCCUGUCUUUUUGGCAAACUGUUCUGCCCUGAAGACUGCCAUGGCAAUUUGCCAUGUGAUGUCCAUCUCCUCAACGUCCUCUGGAUGGAUUUGAUCAAGAUCUACAAACGACAAUUGAGGAGGAAGCUCCCCAGCUACAAGUGCAUUGUAGUAAUUGACUAGCCUUGCAGCAAAGACAAUGUUUUCAUCAAGCUCCUUGCCCUUGGAAGAAAAAGAAGCCACAUUUGAAGGAGCUGUCAAGAAUGAUUGGUUCUGUGGCUGGGGCAUAGCUGAGGCAGAGGGAGCAGAUGGAUGAGAGAGCAUCUGAGUCUGAGAAGGUGCAUUGAAGGAUAAGCCUGCAGAUGAAUAAGAAAAUGAAGAGAGAGCAUUAUUAGAUGAGAUGCCAAGGUUUGCAGUCGAGUAUGAAUUGACAUGAUUUAUCUCUCUUUGCUUGUCAUCAAUAUCACUUGCUUUGAUGACAGCCAUCACUUCAGCUAGGGUAAGGCGAUUGAGAUCUUUAGUCUUUUUGAUUACAGCUACAUUCAUGUCCCAAGAUUUUGGGAGGGCAUUCAGUAGCUUAUUGUUAAUCUCAGAUUUUGUAUAGAAGAUCCCUGCCACUGAUAUUUCUGUGUUGAGAGUUGUAAGUCGCUGUAGCUGGGCUUCAAGAGUCUCUCCGGGCACAUAGUUGAACAUGUUAAACCGUUGCCUUAACAUGUCUUGGCUACUUUCUCGCAAAUCCUCGUUUCCUUCAUAUACCUUAAUCAGUGCCUCCCACAAUGCUUUAGCAGAAGUGUAUUCUCUUAAAACUUGUGCAAUGUCUGGUGAUAGAGCCAUAGUUAAAAUGGCCAAUGCCUUCUCUUGUUCCUCGAUGGACUCGAAAUCUUCAUCGGUAUAAUUUUUGAUUUUCUUAUCCACCACCUAUACUGUGACUGUAGUGGUGAUUCUGAUCGGGGAAACCAUUAGCGGACAUGACUCUUGGAAUGCGCGUGGUUGUUCCCAUCACAGCAUCGAGUUCUUGAUAUUGAUUAGGAUUUUGUGAUUCCAUUUUUUAUUUAAAUCAAAGUUAAUUAAUUAUUAAAUAAAACUUAAUUUUCGAUAAAAAAAAUUACUGAAAAAAAUUUACUGUUUAUUGUCAAUUCCGAAAAUUAAUUAAUUAAACUUCAAGACAAGUUUACUGCCGAGAGAUGUUUACAGCCGUAAACUCCUUGUUUACGGCCCGUGAACUUUUUCGAAUUCUGAAACAGAAAAUUAAAGACGCAAUUUAUCUAAAAUCGAUUAGCAGAUAAUCAAUUUAAGGCCAAUGAUUUUCUGUUAAAAGUUUAUUUUAUUUUUUAAGAAUUAAAUGCAGUGAAAUAUGAUUAUUAAAACCUUUAAUCAGGGACUCAAUUUACUGGAGAAGAAAAUCGUUUGCGGUGUUUGAGCCUUGAAUAGCUUGCGCCCAUGAACUUGGUGUUUACGGCCGUAAGCUAGGACCAUGAACUUCUGAACACACGAAAUUCGACUGGAAUAAAACCCUUCUUUCGCUAUGAAUAUCGUUUUGAGCAAAAUCGCAACUAUAGGACGUCUUUGACACUGGUCUCGCUCUGAUACCAAUUGUAAAGCCUGAAAACGAAUCUACCAAUGAUCAAAGACAAAUAACAGAAGCAAAAGAUAAAACAAUAAGCAAAUAACAAACGAACCAAGCUUGCAUACGCCUUAAAGCAAUAAAACGUCAGAUACAACUUGGAGAAAUCACGAAGGCAUCAACAACCUUUAAAGUCUGACACAACGCCCUAUUUAUAAACCUGACUUACAACCGUGAGGUGUUUACGGCCGCAAGGAGCUUACGGCCGUAAACACAUAACAACCGUAAACUAGACAAAAUCGGUUUUUCCUACACAAUCACUACCACUAACUAGUAUGCCUAGACCAAACCAUUAUACAGGGUCUUUCAAAACCCAUGGGUCAUGGAAAUGAAGAGUCAUGUCACAUUAGGGUUUACAUGGUGUAAGCCAAAUUGUAACACACUAUAUAAAGGAUAUGAAGCUCACCAAAAUCGGUUACUAGAAGCAAGAUAGAGGGCAUAGCCGAUUCUAAGUGUGUGACAUUUCUCUCAAGGUUUAUUGCAAGUGCAUUCGGUGUUGUGUGAGACAUUUGAGGCAUCACACUUUGCCACACCCCCGAACCAGACGGCGGAAACGUCCGGGGGCUUGUGCGUGACUUCAUCUUGAAAUAUCAUUACAGUGAAUAUAAUUGUAACAUAACAUCAUCAUCAUCACACAUGUAAUAUAACAACAUUCAUUGUUUACAUCGAGUAUUGUAUUUGAAUAUUACAUCCCAAAAUAGUAAGAGUAUGAUGAAACAAAAUAUAACACAAUAUCCAUUAGCUUGUUUCGUUCAUCCUGCUUCAAUGGUUUCCUGAGAAUACAAGUUAUUUUGAAAAUGGUCAACAUAAAAAUGUUGGUGAGUUCAUAAGCAUGUUUGUGAAAAUGAUUUGUAUAACUUUAAAAACCACCAGAAAAUCCGAUAUUUUCUGAAAACUGUUUAGUGUGUUUGUGUUGGAUCUUGUAUUAAUGCAUGUAUGUUAUUGUUUAUUUGACUAAAACGGUAAAGAAAAUGUAGAGAGAAUGUAAGAGGAUGUAGAGAGAAUGUUCCCAGACAACCCGAUGUUGUCUGUAAAAAAAAAAGGGUCUUCCGUAAACUUCAUAAUGUUAAUUCCUCUAAGCGAAUCGUCAUAACCAUACUAAAUAAUGACAAUUUCGCCUGUCUAGGCGUCGUUGGAAGUCGGUUUUGACUUUGAUUAUAAGGUUUUUGUCACCCUAGCCUGAGUUAGUCUAACUGUAGCGAACAACUCAGGUGUGGGGCCUCAUCCCUGUAUAGAUCUAUACACAAAUCCCCAUUCUCCCUCCAAGAGACUCUGCUUAUAACUACAGGCUACGAUUACACUUAAUAGGUGCCAACCGUUAAAAACUCACUAGAUCCUUAACCGAAUUUACGCGAAGAAAAAGGUAUAAACUCCUUCCAGGACCACUGAUCGAUGUAAGUGAACCACUAAGGCAUCGCGAAACAUGUAAAUCAUUCAAGACCCAAUUGGAAUGAGAUUAUAUAACAUGGACCCGGAAUAUAUAUGAAAGGACAACUAAGGCCCAUUUCACAUGUAAAGUAUUUACAGGCCCAAAUAGCACACAAAUAGUAUCCAAGGUCCGUCGCACAUGUUAAUGGGUCAAUGAGGCCCAAUAAACAUAUACAACACCUCUCACACAUAAAAAUAAUGGGCCACUAAGGCCCAAUAACCUAGAAAAUGAUCAAAUUAAAUCCAUUUGUUGGUUUAUCAUUGGUUUUAGCUCAAGUAUUCACUAAAAUAGCAUAAAAAGAAGAAUGCAUAUAAAACCCAUUCCCAGGCCCAAUAAACAUGUAAGUGGACCACUAAGGCCCACUAUACGUGUCUAUUUUUUCCAGGCUCAAAAGCAAUGUGAAUGUCUAUCCUAAGCCCAAUAUACAUGUAUAAGGACACUAAGGCCCACUAAACAAGCAUAUUAUUUCCAAGCCCAUUAAGGAUAUGAAUACCUAUCCCGAGCCCAAUAUACAUGUAAAAGGACACUAAGGCCCACUAAACAUGUAUAAUAUUUACAGGCCCAAUAAGGAUAUGAAUAUCGUUUCUAACCCGUUUGUUAUUGUUUUGUUUAUUGUAGCUUGAUUAUUUAAAAAGUUGAUAUAAAAGCCCACUUUUUGUAAAAAUGGCGUUCUUGGCCCAAUAAGCCAAAAAUUUACAAUUAAGGCCCAAUUUUUGUAAGAAUAACACUUUAGUCUCCAUUUUGUUCAAAACUUGUGUUGAUGAGUAGUUUGUAGUAAAAAUAACAUUUUAAACCCAUUUUUGUCAAAAAUAUCAUUUUUGGCUUGGUUUUUGUGAAAAUACACAUUUUUCUGGUCUUUGAUUUUUCCGACCUAGUUUUUAGAAAAUUUUUAGAAAAUUAAUCGUAAGACAAAAUUUUGAUCCGUAGAUUCUAGUAGUUUGGAAAUUCUGUCUACUUUGUUCACAAUUUUUCUCAUAAUUUUUAUGGCCUCAAACUAGUGUGAAAUUACUCAUCUUCACAGGUUGGUCCGAACUUAUUUCAAAUAUGAUAGGCAGUUUUGUAAAAUUCGCAAAAAAUUGUAGAAAAAUCAUAUGAAAACGUGAGAGUAGUCAUUUUAAAGGUAUAAAUCUAAGCUUUAUCCACGUAAAACAGCUUUGAAAAUACUUCCAUUAAGAUGGUCAAAACAGUCCGAGAUUGGACCAAAACGUUUCUGUCAAGGGCUGUUUUGUGAGUUUAGUUUAUAGAUCUUUGAACACAACACUUAUUUUUGCUAUAUCAAGUAUAUAAAUCCCAGAUCUACAUGUUUACAUGUAAUACUUGUGAUAAAACAUACUUUUCUCAAGAUUCAUAGGAAGAUCCUAGUGAUAAACUUCAAGUUUCUUAACAUAUUUUUAGAUUAGUGAAGUAAUCAACACAUAAUCACCAAAUGUUUCAAGAAAACACACAUAAUCAUGCAUAUACACAUAGAUCUCCACAAUUCAACUUGUAUUCUCCCCCCAAAAACAAGUAAAAACCAAAAACAAGGGGGUAUGUACUCGCUUUUCUUGUUGAUUUCUGCUUUAGUGAAGAAAGAAGAAGCUUUCGGCUCUUGCAAGCUUCCCUUGAGUAGAUCUCGAGUUCUAUGGAGUUCUAGGGUAUGGAUCAUGAAAUGAUGUAGGUUAAGAAGAGAUUUUGAUAUAAUCUUGAAGUUAAAACAUAGAUCCAAGUAAGUACUUACCAAAGAUGAUGAUUUAGAUGAAGAUCCUCUUGAGAGCACCCAAAAUCUUGAAAUUUUGAUGGGUGAAAGAAGAUUUUUUGAGAUGAUUUUUGAGAGGGUUUGAAAGUGGAGUGUGUGUGUGUGUUCCUUUGGCUGAAAGAAUAAGAGGGGAGAGAGAGAUAUAGAGUUUGAUUAAUGGUGGUGGGAGUGGUGCAUGGAUACAUGCACUCUUGCAUGGAUAUCCAACAAAUUAAGUUAGGUGUCAUGUGUUAGGCAAGUCCUCAUUUUCCAUAUAUUUUUUUUUAUUUCUUGGGCCGAGAAUGGGCCUAAUGGAGUGAAGGAAAAUGAUUUUGGACUCACUCUCUUGGCUUUAUCCGAAUUUCCUAGGUCCAAUAAUGUUUUUCGGCCCAUUAUGGUAUAAAAGAAUGGUUUUAUGGUCUAUUAGGGCUAAGUAAUUUAUUUAUGGCCCAAAAAGGCCGAUUAGGGUUAGAAUUAAUCAUUCUAGGCCCAAAUGGCCCAAAAUGUUAUAGAUUGAUGAAUUGAUGAUCUAUUGGUCCCUUAGGCCCAACAAGAGAAUCCUAGUCCACAAUAAACUUGAGCCGGGAUUUCUAGGGUUUCCAACCUUACUUGCACAUAUGAGAUGAAUUUGAAUGAGAAUAGAGUAUAGUAUUCACUUAGAGUAUAGGCUUUUACAAUGGAUGAUGUUUAUAUGAGAAUAGAAUUUCCUAGCUAAAAAUGCUAGUUGUGACAUCAUCCCCCCGUUAGAGGGAAUUUCGUCCCGAAAUUCUUUCGAAAGAUACGUUCAUGAAUGAGAGAAUGAGUACUUCAUCUGAUCUUCGUGUUUCCCAUGUGAAUUUUGGUCCACGCUUGGUGCUCCAUCGAACCUUCACAAUCAGAAUGCGGCAUUGCUUUGUACGCUUUACUUCCUUAUCCAAUACAUCGACUGGUUCUUGGAUGAAAAGGAGAUUCUCGUUUAUUUUGACCUCUUUCUAGAGAAAUAAUAAGAGUUUUUCCUGAUAGGCAGUUUUUCAUAUUCAAUACGCUGAAUAUAGGGUGUGCGUUGCUGAGCUCUACAGGCAGCUGUAGCCUAUCAGUAUUUGGACCAAUCCGAGCAAGAAUCUCGAACAAUCCAAUGUAUCGCGGGUUUAGUUUUCUCAUUUCCUAAAGCAAAUCAAUCCUUUAUUUGGAAAGAAUUUAAAUCAUACAUAGCCUCCGACUUGGAAUUCCAGAGGUUUUCGUCAUUUGUCAGCAUAACUCUUCUGCACUUCUCGUGAUGCUUGAAGUCGAGUUCUGAUUUUGGAUUAUCUUCUCUGUCGUUUCGCGAAUGGUUUCUGGUCCCAUAAGAGUACUGGCGAGUGAUCCGCAUUUUCGACCAUAAAGAGUCUCGAAAAGAGCAUCCUUGAUGCUCGUGCAAUAGCUGUUAUUACGUGAGAAUUCAAUCAAGGGCAAUCGGGUAUCCCAUGACUUGCUAAAUUCAAACACCCAGACUUGUAGCAUGAAUUCGAGUGGUUGAAUGGUUUGUUUGCUUUGGGUAUUGGUUUGAGGGUGGUAAGCAAUGCUCAUACUUAGCUAUGUUCCCAUAGCCUUCUGAAAUGACUAUCAAAGUCUUGAAGAAAUCCCGUUAUCUCGAUCCGAGAUAGUGGAUACCGAUAUUUCAUGGAGUCUCACGAUCUCCCUGAUAUAGAUCCAAGCUAAUCUUUCUGUCUUGUUAGAUUUUUGUAUUGGCAGGAAAUGGGCGGAUUGUGUUAACAUAUGGACCAUCACCCAGAUAACGCCCAACUCAACUCUUAUAACAAUAAGCUUCGUCUUUUGACUUCGAGAGUUUUAUCCAUCCACGUUGUGUUUUCUUCACGAUAUUCUACGGCUUUAAUGCUUUCAAGGCUGGUCGUAGAUGUUGGCAGAGUUUUGUUCUUGCUUUGUGAGCAGACGAGUAUGUUAUCGAUGAAAAUAAUUAAAAAGUAUGACUAGGAAUGGUUGGAAUAACUCGGUUCGUAGGGUUCAUGAAUACUGCGGGAGCAUUCAUUAGACCGAAGGGUAUCACAAUGAAUUUGAAAUGGUCGCAACGAGUUCGGAAGGCAGUUUUUGGAAUGUCGUCUUCUCGGACUCGAAGUUGAUGAUAACCGGUUCUUAGAUCUAUUUCAGAGAAGUAACUAGCACCUUGGAGCUGGCCAAAUAGAUCGUCAGUCCGAGGGAGUGGGUAUCGGUUUUUGAUAGUGAGCUUAUUCAAUUUCCUAAAAUCAAUGCACAUUCUAAAGGAUCCGUCUUCUUGAAGAACAAGAUCGGAGCUCUCCAGGGUGAGAAGCUUGGUCCGCUGAAUCCUUUGCACAACAAUUCUUCUCAAUUGACUGGAUAACUUGUGAAUUUUUGGCGGGAGUCAACCUAUAGGGUGAAUUGGCAAUUGAUGUGGUUCCCGGUAUUAGGUUGAUUUCAAAUUUGACCUGUCUUUCUAGAGGUAUUCCCGGAUGUUCUUCAGGAAAUACAUUCAGAAAAUUGCAUGCUACCAGAAUACCAUGUAUGCUUACUUCUUGCUUGGUAUUGUCCAUAACAUGAGCAAGGAAAACGUAGUUUUUCUGGUCCAGGCACUUCUGUGCCUUGAUGCAUGAGAUAGGAAGAGGAUUGGCGCCAGGUUUAUCACCAUGGAUUAUUAGAGUUUUGUGAUUGGGAAGGUGAAGGGAAACGGCCUUCUCGCGACACAUAAUAUCAACACGGUGGGGGCUUAACCCACCAUGCCGAUUAUCACAUCAAAACUCCUAAUAUUUACUGGCAUCAAAUCUAUUUGAAAUGAAUGGUUUUUUAGUGUUAAGGUGUUCCCUACAUAAUUAUCUUUGGUUGAUGCGGUUUUCCCCUUAGUUAUUUCCACCGUUAAGGCUUAGUUUAGCCUCCGGGGUUGUGGUUUUAGUAAGUGUUUGAAUAUGUUACUAACGAAGAUUCACUCAGCUUUACUAUUGAAUAAGAGGUAAGCGAAAGAGUUGUUAAGGGAGAACGUACCAAUAACAACCGUUGGGUCUUGGAAUGCUUCGUCUUGACCCAAGGUAAGGACCAUUUCCGAUCCUUCUGCUCCUUGAUUGUUAUCCUUGGGGCAAUUGUGCCUGAAGUGACUGGUUCCUCCAUACCCAUAGCAGGUGUGACUGGUAUCAUCAUUGGUGUUGUUUUUAGGGUUGUUGCGAUUGUUGUCGUUUUCAUUUGGCUGACGAUUCUGGCAUGGAUAAGUUCUACAGAAUUUGGCGGUGUGAUUCUUUCGGUUGCAUUUGUUACAAUGCAUCUCCCGGAAGGCUCCAUUAUGAUGGAAUUUGCACUGGUUGCAUUUUGGAAGGCUUCAAACAUAUGGUCUCCUAGUUGUUAGUGUAAUAGGGGUCAUGGUCGCAUGAACCGCAACAACAUGUUGCUUCCUUGAGAAUCCUUGAGUGGGUUGUCCCUUUCUCUUACAUCCAGGAUUUUGCUUCCUGCUCUUAAGCUUGGGGUUUAGUGUGCCUUGACAAGCUGUCACUUAUUGGUUCCCAUGCUCGUUCCUUUGGCUGGAGUUGUCAAUGCUAUUUCCGCCUCCAUUGGGAUUGUUUGCAUUGAUUUGUGCCAUAGAAGCGGUUACUGCCGCCAUUACAGCACCUUGGAAUGUAGCAGAGUCCAUCUGCAGGGGCGGUGUCUCGCGGGUGCGCUUGUUAUUCUUACGGGAUGGCAUUUUCCUGCUACACGUUGAUAAUCCAGAUCGUAAGUAAUGAUCGUCAUUCCUGGUUGUACUCUAUAAAUUUUGCAUCUUGUUGUAUAAUUCUUACUGCUUCCAUCUACAUCCCUAUGAUGUAUUUGCGGUAGUAGGUAACCACAGAUUUGGCACGAUCGUCAUGUCUAUCCUUAGAGUAUAUAGGUUUUUUUGGUUUCGAGACCCUUAAGUAUCUAGCGGUUUUGAGGGUUCGCUUGUGCAUAUAAUUAAGUCUAUGUAGUAAUAUGAAAUAAAGAUAGCACAUAAUUGUUCCAAUGCUAAGUACCAUCUUAGUACACGAAAAAGAGUCAUGUCGGAUAGUAGGGGGAAGUUGAAAAGGUUGAUCCUAAUUGUGGAGGGAAGUGUCUGGUGGUGGUGAUGAUGAAGUCGAUGCACCUCAGAGACGAGCUACUUGUUGUUCGGUAUCUCGUAGUCGUACUUCCCAAACUAAUUGUCUCGCUCGAGAGUCUCCAUUCACUUCCUGUGUUUGCCUCUCAUCUCUCUCAAUAGCGAACCACAUUUGUUCCAUUCGACUUGGGGGGUCUUGAGCUUUGUUGUCAAUACCUCGGGUGCGCCGGACCAUGACUGGGAGGGACCGGUCAGCUGGUCCACUACGACUAAGAUCGAAGUGACCUCAGUUCCUACCGUAGUGUGGUUGUAUCCCCUGUUGGUGACUCUAUCUCCAAAUAUCGUGUGCCCAAGGGGGCAUGGGGCCACCGGGGCCCACACGAUAUGUCGGUACUCUGGCUUUACAUGGAGGAUUGAUGUCAUCGGAUUCUAUAUCCGAGUCAUCAUCAUCAUUGCCCUCGGGCUCUUCCUCUUUGUGGUUCACUAUUGACUCGGCUGGUCCAUUUGCAAGUUCUACUUUGUGUUCCUCCUCUGGUUCUUCCUGUGAGUCUCCUUUUGGGUCUUCCUCUGGGUCGAGCUACCCUUCUAUUCCCUGACUAGGGAGAUAGGGGUUUCCUGGCUAAUGAUAAUUGUCUAUAGUGUAUUACACGAAGGGGUAUAAAUACUAGAAACAAAUAGCAUACCAAUUACUCCUAUAGUAAUUUAAUUUUGUUUAGGUUUGGUUCUAUAAGCUCUUUGGAUAAUUAAAUGGUAAGUUUUUGAUUCAUUUUCCAUCACAAUUACUCCCGAACACAUGUUGGUCGUAUUUUGAAUGAAUGUUGUUGAUCAGGCUACAUUCACACCUAAUACGACAACAUAACUGCCCGAGUUUAAUAGCGAUGUUCAAAUCCUCCAAAGACUUUUACUGUUCUUGUUGUCUUAUUAUUCUAAAAUGCACACAAAGGUAUGUAUUUUAAUUAUCAUGUUCAGAGUUGUUUAGUCCCAUUGUAUUUAUAGUUGCAUACCUGUAGAUUAGAUAUGAUAGUGCACUAUAAACAAUGCUCUGAUUCCAAUCUGUCACACCCCCGAACCAGACGGCGGAAACGUCUGGGGGCUUGUGCGUGACUUCAUCUUGAAAUAUCAUUACAGUGAAUAUAAGUGAAACAUAACAUCAUCAUUAUCAUCACACAUGUAAUAUAACAACAUUCAUUUUUUACAUCAAGUAUGGUAUUUGAAUAUUACAUGCCAAAAUAGUAAGAGUAUGAUGAAGCAAAAUAUAACACAAUAUCCAUUAGUUUGUUUCGUUCAUCCUGCUUCAACGGUUUUUUGAGAAUACACGUUAUUUUGAAAACGGUCAACAUAAAUAUGUUGGUGAGUUGAUAAGCAUGUUUGUGAAAAUGAUUUGUAUAACUUUGAAAACCACCAAAAAAUCCGAUAUUUUCUGAAAACUGUUUAGUGUGUUUGAGUUAGAUCUUGUAUUAAUGCAUGUAUGUUAUUGUUUAUUUGACUAAAACGGUAAAGAAAAUGUAGACAAAAUGUAAGAGCAUGUAGAGAGAAUGUUCCCAGACAACCCGAUGUUGCCUGUAAAAAUAAGGGUCUUCCGUAAACUUCAUAACGUUAAUUCCUCUAACCGAGUCGUCACAACCAUACUAAAUAAUGACAAUUUCGCCUGUCUAGGCCUCAUUGGAAGUCGGUUUUUACUUUGAUUAUAAGGUUUUCAUCACCCUAGACUAAGUUAGUCUAACUGUAGCGAACAACUCAGGUGUGGGGCAUCAUCCCCAUAUAGAUCUAUACACAAAUCCCCAUUCUCCCUCCAAGAGACUCUGGUUAUAACUACAGGCUACGAGCGUAUUCUUAAUAGGUGCCAACCGAUAAAAACUCACCAGAUCGUUAACCGAAUUUACGCGAAGAAAAAGGUAUAAACUCCUUCCAGGCCCAAUGAUCCAUGUAAGUGAACCACUAAGGCAUCGCUAAACAUGUAAAUCAUUCAAGACCCAAUUGGAAUGAGAUUAUAUAACAUGGACCCGAAAUAUAUAUGAAAGGACAACUAAGGCCCAUUUCACAUGUAAAGUAUUUACAUGUCCAAAUAGCUUACAAAUAGUAUCCAAGAUCCGUCGCACGUGUUAAUGGGUCAAUGAGGCCUAAUAAACAUUCACAGGACCUCUCACACAUAAAAAAAUGGGCCACUAAGGCCCAAUAACCUAGAAACUGAUCAAAUUAAAUCCAUUUGUUGGUUUAUCAUUGGUUUUAGCUCAAGUAUUGACUAAAAUAGCAUAAAAAGAUGAAUGCAUAUAAAACCCAUUCCCAGGCCCAAUAAAUAUGUAAGUGGACCACUAAGGCCCACUAUACGUGUCUAUUAUUUCCAGGGUCAAAAGGAAUGUGAAUGUCUAUCCUAAGCCCAAUAUACAUGUAAAAGGACACUAAGGCCCACCGAACAAGUAUAUUAUUUCCAGACCCAAUAAGGAUAUGAAUACUUAUCCCGAGCCCAAUAUACAUGUAAAAGGACACUAAGGCCCACUAAACAUGUAUAUUAUUUCCAGGCCCAAUAAGGAUAUGAAUAUCGUUUUUAACCCGUUUGUUAUUGUUUUGUUUUUUGUAGCUUGAUUAUUUACAAAGUUGAUAUAAAAGCCCACCUUUUGUAAAAAUGACAUUCUUGGCCCAAUAAGCCAAAAAUUUACAAUUAAGGCCCAAUUUUUGUAAGAAUAACACUUUAGUCUCCAUUUUGUUCAAAACUUGUGUUGAUGACUAGUUUGUGGUAAAAAUACCAUUUUAAACCCAUUUUUGUCAAAAAUAUCAUUUUCGGCUUGGUUUUUGUGAAAAUACACAUUUUUCUGGUCUUUGAUUUUUUCGACCUAGUUUUUAGAAAAUUUGUAUAAAAUUCAUCGUAAGUCGAAAUUUGGAUCCGUAAAUUUUGGAAGUUUGGAAAUUUUGUCUACUUUGUUCAAAAUUUUUCGCAUAAUUUUUGUUGGCCUCAAACUAGUGUCAAAUUACUCAUCUUCACAGGUUGGUCCGAAAUUAUUUCAAAUAUGAUAUGCAGUUUUGUAAAAUUCGCCAAAAAUUGUAGAAAAAUCGUCUGAAAACGUGAGAGUAGUUAUUUUAAAUGUAUAAAUCUGAAAUUUAUCCAUGUAAAACAGUUUUGAAAAAUACUUCCAUUAAGAUAGUCAAAACAGUCCGAGAUUGGACCAAAACUUUUCUGUCAAGGGCUGUUUUGUGAGUUUAGUUUAUAGAUCUUUGAACACAACACUUAUUUUUGCUAUAUCAAGUAUACAAAUCCCAGAUCUACAUGUUUACAUGUAAUACUUGUGAUAAAACAUACUUUUCUCAAGAUUCAUAUGAAGAUUCUAGUGAUAAACAUCAAGUUUCUUAACAUAUUUUUAGAUUAGUGAAGUAAUCAACACAUAAUCACCAAAUGUUUCAAGAAAACACACAUAAUCAUGCAUAUACAAAUAGAUCUACACAAUUCAACUUGUAUACUCCCCUAAAAACAAGUAAAAACCAAAAACAAGGGGGUAUGAACUCACCUUGCUUGUUGAUUUCGGUUUUAGUGAAGAAAAGAAGAAGCUUUCGGCUCUUGCAAGCUUCCCUUGAGUAGAUCUCGAGUUCUAUGGAGUUCUAGGGUAUGGAUUAUGAAAUGAUAUAAGUUAAGAAUAGAUUUUGAUGGAUUCUUGAAGUUAAAACAUAGAUCCAAGUAAGUACUUACAAAAGAUGAUGAUUUAGAUGAAGAUCCUCUUGAGAGCACCAAAAAUCUCGAAAUUUUGAUGCGUGAAAGAAGAGUUUUUUAGAUGAUUUUUGAGAGGGUUUGAAAGUGGAGUGUGUGUGUGUGUGUGUGUUCUUUUGGCCGAGAGAAUAAGAGGGGAGAGAGAGAUAUAGAGUUUGAUUAAUGGUGGUGGGAGAGGUGCAUGGAUACAUGCACUCUUGCAUGGAUAUCCAACAAAUAAAGUUAGGUGUCAUGUGUUAGGCAAAUCCUCAUUUUCCAUGUAUAUUAUUUUACUUUCUUGGUCCGAGAAUGGGCCUAAUGGAGUGAAGGAAAAUGAUGUUGGGCUCACUCUCUUGGCUUUAUUCGAAUUUCCUAGGUCCAAUAAUGUUUUUCGGCCCAUUAUGGUAUAAAAGAAUGGUUUUAUGGUCCAUUAGGGAUAGAAUGAAUCAUUAUACGCCCAAAUGGCCCAAAAUGUUACAGAUUGAUGAAUUGAUGAUCUAUUGGUCCCUUAGGCCCAAUAAUAGAAUCCUAGUCCACAAUGAACUUGAGCCGGGAUUUCUAGGGUUUCCAACCCUUACUUGCACAUAUGAGAUGCAUUUGAAUGAGAAUAGAGUAUAGUAUUUACUUAGAGUAUAGGCUUUUACAAUGGAUGAUGUUUAUAUGAGAAUAGAAUUUCCUAGCAAAAAAUGCUAGUUGUGACAUCAUCCCCCCGUUAGAGGGAAUUUCGUCCCGAAAUUCUUUCGAAUCAUAGAUUCAUGAAUGAGAGAAUAGGUACUUCAUUUGAUCUUCGCGUUUCCCAUGUGAAUUUUGGUCCACGCUUGGCGCUCCAUCGAACCUUCACAAUCGGAAUGCGGUAUUGUUUUGUACGCUAUACUUCCUUAUCCAAUACAUUGACUGGUUCUUGGAUGAAAUGGAGAUUCUCGUUUAUUUUGACCUCUUUCUAAAGAAAUGAUAAGAGAUUUUCCUGAUAGACACUUUUUCAGAUUCGAUACGCUGAACAUAGGGUGUGCGUUGCUGAGCUCUACAGGCAGCUGCAGACUAUCAGUCUUUGGACCAAUCCGAGCAAGAAUCUUGAACAAUCCAAUGUAUCGUAGGUUUAGUUUUCUCAUUUCCUAAAGCAAAUCAAUCCUUUAUUUGGAAAGAAUUUAAAUCGUACCCAGCCUCCGACUUAGAAUUCCAGAGGUUUUCGUCAUUUGUCAGCAUAACUCUUCUGUCCUUCUCGUGAUGCUUGAAGUCUAGUUCUGAUUUUGGUUUAUCUUGUCUGUCGUUUCGCGAAUGGUUUGUGGUCCCGUGAGAGUACUUGCGAGUGAUCCACAUUUUUGACCAUAAAGAUUCUCGAAAAGAGCAUCCUUGAUGCUCGUGCAAUAGAUGUUAUUGCGUGACAAUUCAAUCAAGGGCAAUCGGGUAUCCCAUGACUUGCUGAAUUCAAACACCCAGACUUGUAGCAUGAAUUCGAGUGGUUGAGUGGUUCAUUUGAUUUGGCUAUUGGUUUGAGGAUGGUAAGCAAUGCUCAUACUUAGCUAAGUUCCCAUAGCCUUCUGAAAUGACUGUCAAAGUCUUGAAGAAAUCUCGUUAUCUCGAUCCGAGAUAGUAGAUACCGAUAUUUCAUGGAGUCUCACGAUCUCCUUGAUAUAGAUCCAAGCUAAUCUUUCCGUCUUGUUAGAUUUUUGUAUUGGCAGGAAAUGGGCGGAUUGUGUUAACCUAUGGACGAUCACCCAGAUAACGCCCAACUCAACUCUUAUAACAAUAAGCUUCGUCUUUUGACUUUGAGAGUUUUAUCCAUCCACAUGGUGUUUUCUUCACGAUAUUCUCCGGCUUUAAUGCUUUCAAGACUGGUCGUAGAUGUUGGCAGAGUUUUGUUCUUGCUUCGUGAGCAGAUGAGUAUGUUAUCGAUGAAAAUAAUUAAAAACGCUGACUAGGAAUGGUUGGAAUAACUCGGUUCGUAGUUCCAUGAAUACUGUGGGAGCAUUCAUUAGACCGAAGGGUAUCACAAUGAAUUUGAAAUGGUCGCGACGAGUUCGGAAGGCAGUUUUUUGAAUGUCGUCUUCUCGGACUCGAUGUUGACGAUAAGCGGUUCUUAGAUCUAUUUUAGAGAAGUAACUAGCACCAUGGAGCUUGCCAAAUAGAUCGUCAGUCCGAGGGAGUGGGUAUCGGUUUUUGAUAGUGAUCUUAUUCAAUUUCCUAAAAUUGAUGCACAUUCUAAAGGAUCCGUCUUCUUGAGGAACAAGAUCGGAGCUCUCCAGGGUGACAAGCUUGGUCCGAUGAAUCCUUUGCGCAACAGUUCUUCUCAAUUGAUUGGAUAACUUGUGAAUUUUCGGUCGGAGUCAACCUAUAGGGUGAAUUGGCAAUUGAUGUGGUUCCUGGUAUUAGGUCGAUUUGAAAUUUGACUUGUCUUUCUAGAGGUAUUCCCGGAAGUUCUUCGGGAAAUACAUUCAGAAAAUCGCAUGCUAGCGGAAUACCUUGUAUGCUUACUUCUUCCUUGGUCUUGUCCACAACAUGAGCAAGGAAAAGAUAGUUCUUCCGGUCCAGUCACUUCUGUGCCUUGAUGCACGAGAUAGGAAGAGGAUUGGCACCAGGUUUAUCACCAUGGAUUAUUAGAGCUUUGUGGUUGGGAAGGUGAAAGGAAACGACCUUCUCACGACACAUAAUAUCAGCACAGUGGGGGCUUAACCCAACCAUGCCGAUUAUCACAUCAAAACUCCUAAUAUUUACUGGCAUCAAAUCUAUUUGUAAUGAAUGGUUGUUUAGUGUUAAGGUGUUCCCUACAUAAUUAUCUUUGGUUGAUGCGGUUUUCCCCUUAGUUAUCUCCAUCGUUAAGACUUAGUUUAGCCUCCGGGGUUGUGGUUUUAGUAAGUGUUUGAAUAUGUUACUAACGAAGAUUCAAUCAGCUUUACUAUUGAAUAAGAGGUAAGUGAAAGAGUUGUUAAGUGGGAACGUACCAAUAGCAACCGUUGGGUCUUGGAAUGCUUCGCCUUGACCCAAGGUCAGGACCAUUUCCGAUCCUUCUGCUCCUUGAUUGUUAUCCUUGGGGCAAUUGCGCCUGAAGUGAUUGGUUCCUCCAUACCCAUAGCAAGUGUGACUGGUCUCAUCAUUGGUGUUGUUGUUAGGUGCGACAACCAUCAAUUUCCGGUCAAGUCAAAGUCAACUAAAGUCAACAAGUCAAAUCGAUCGACUCAAUUAGCCCGUGAGUACUAGGGCUUACGUGGGUAAUUACUAUACAACUCGCUAUUCUAAUGAGAGAUCAUAAAUUGAAAAGUUCGUACAUCUAGAUUUCCUUAACCUUAAACCGUGGUAAGUAACAAACCACACCGAUAAAACAAUGUUGCAUACUCAUUGGGAGUGUGUAAGAUCUUUUAACACGGCUUAAUGGGGCUUACGGACCUUGUGAUGCGGAGCCAAACACUCACAAAUGUCACACAUGAAACCUUUUUCAAUCGUUUUCACUAUAUCUUUAUCUAGAAACCUCUCCCAAAUCCCUCCAAGAAUGUGAAAUCUCUCCAAGAAUGUGAAAUCUCUCCCAAAUCUCUCUUUGUAUGAGAAAUCUCUCCAAGAAUGUGAAAUUUCUCCCAAAUCUCUCUUUGUAUGAGAAAUCUCUCCAAGAAUGUGAAAUCUCUCCCAAAUGUCUCCAAGAAGGUGAAAUCUCUCUCAAAACCUCUUUUGGAUUUAUUCUGAUCACUUGGUGAAAAACCACUCUACACGGGGAGAGUCCUUUGAAAUUAGCCUCUUAGGGCUAAAGCCUCUCUAUAGGGGCCAAAACCCUUCUUGAACCGAGGUCAAAGGAGUCAGGCCGAGGAGACCGCGGCCAUCCAAAGCCGCAUCCGAGGAGACCACAGUCGUCCAGCCGUAGCGAGCCUCGCCUCCUAACCGCAUUAAGACUUCAGACUACAACCCUGUUUCCUUCAGAUCCGCCUCCGCGACCAAGACCUCCCUUCGGAUGUGGACUGCUGAUGACUGAGCCUUAGCGCCUCCGGUCCAGGACUUCGGAUUUCUUCAUUUUUCACCCGGUUUUCGAUCAUUUCUCCGUUUUAAGUCUGUUUUUAAUCAUUUUAACGUGGGAUUUUCUCAAAAAAUCCUAUUUUAACAUAUAAGACCCUAAAUAUUCAUAAUUUGGGCAUAUUUUUAUGGAAAUAUUUAUUUAAGAAUAAAAUCAUUUAACUGAGAUCAUGAGGUGGAGUGUAAAUCUUGCCAUAAUAUUUGACACACACCACCACCCCAUGCCCAUUCCUUUGACCAAUCCUUGUACUCCUAGUCACUUCAAGACACAAUCCCUCUCCUUUCCCAGCAACUCACGUUCAAAGGAGCCGGAGAACACACUUAUCUCUCUUCAUUUCCCUCACUUCACACAUUUUCCUCAUUUUCACCAAGAAGAUCAAACAACCUUUUCUCUCAAACUUCCUCCCUCAAAUUCAAGAUUCAAUGCUGAUUAUCAAGCUUUGUCACACUCUUGGUAAGUAUAAUCCAUACUCUCUAUGAUUAUUACACUUCCUUUUUUCUCAAAUCAAUGAAUUCCUUACACAAACAUCAUCACAUUCUUGUUAGAUCUUCGAAUCUUCAAGUGAUUCUUCAAGUGUUCUUGAGUUGAACACUUCUCUUCUUCAACACUCAUCUACUGAAACCACUCAAGGUGAGUUCAUACCCCUACAUUUUCAUGUUUUCUCAAGUUUUUAGGGGGGGGGGGAAACAAGUUAAAACCAAAAAAACCAAACUAAAAUUUUCUAACAACUUUCAUCAGAAAAGUUGGACUCCAUUCACGGAUUGUUUUGGGCAACAUAAAUUUUUUUUCAAAAAUGUUUUAGGUGGAAGUAGUUACAGUUCUUAGCUUUAAAAUGACUACUUUCACAUCUCCAUACGAUUUUUCUACGAUUUAUGGUUAUUUUUACAAAACUGCCUAUCAUUUGAAACAUCAAUCCGGACCAGUCUGUGAUUAUGGACUUGUUCACACAAGUUAGAGGUCAUUAAAAUUCAUAAUAAAAAUUAUGAACAAACUACACUAAUUUCCCAAACUCACAAAAUUUACGGAUUCUGAUUUGGACCUUUGAUGAUUUUUGUAUAAAUUUUCUAAAAACAGUAAAUGAAAAUAAUAAUAAAAGAAAAAUGCUAUCAAUUUCAUUUCACCUUGUAACAUGUUGAUCAAGGUGUAUAUCUUUAUAUGAAUAUAUGUUUUUGCAAAUAAAUGAAAUUUUGAGUUAGUAUAUAUUCAUACAUCAGUAAAAAAUGGAGUUUGCUAGAUAAAGCAUAGAAAUAACGAUUUGUUAUAAUCAUAGAGCAUCUAUUACAUACAAACAUUCGAAUAAACUAUGUUAAAGUAUAGUUCAUGUACAUUACCAUUUCUACCCUUGUUUUGAUAAACUAUAAUAUGUAUGGCUUAUAUUUCCAUUAACACAACAAACACAUUUCGAAAGGUUUUAUUCCCACAGAAAAAGGUUUUACACUCACGCACACUACACGUAAACUUGUUAACCUAAAUUGUGAGACAUUCUUNCAUUCGAAUAAACUAUGUUAAAGUAUAGUUCAUGUACAUUACCAUUUCUACCCUUGUUUUGAUAAACUAUAAUAUGUAUGGCUUAUAUUUCCAUUAACACAACAAACACAUUUCGAAAGGUUUUAUUCCCACAGAAAAAGGUUUUACACUCACGCACACUACACGUAAACUUGUUAACCUAAAUUGUGAGACAUUCUUUUUCCGUAUGUCCGAGUGCGGGAUCUAAAUUCCUGGUAGUUAUAAUCAGAGUCUCCCGGAGGGAGAACGUGAUAGUUGUGUAUAGAUCUAUAUUGGAUUAGACACCUCACACCUAAGUUGCAUGCAACAGCUAGACCGGAAGGUCUGUGGUGACAAGUGUCAUUUUAGUUUCGCGACGCCUGAGAAAUGUCGUGGCAGGUUCAUUCAGUCAUAGUAUGGUUAUAGCGGCUCACAUAGGGAGUUAACAACACAUAAAGUUUACGGGGAUUUUCAAAAAUCAAAAGGGUUUUUAUGUCGAUUUAAAAUCACUUUUUAUAUCAAUAAUUACAGAUAUUAUUAUAUAUUUUCAGUCUUGGUGUUUCAGGCUACACAUCAUUCAUUACGGGAUUCUUCUCUAAUCAGAAAGGGUUUUACGCCAAAUUUAAAACCACUUUUAUAUCAUUAGGUAUAACAAAUACUUUUUCAUUCUCGGUCCCGGCAUUUAGGACCACAUAACUUUUAUAAGGAAAAUAUUGUAUUUUUUCUUGGUAAUACACCGCACAUUACAAAGAACGGUUUCCAAACUCUUUAACUAAAAAGCUUAUGAACUCACCAACAUUUGUGUUGACACUUUUUCAAACAACUUGUAUUCUCAGAAAUUCAGUGAAACAGGAAAUCAACAGCGUUUUGAGGAUGGGACGAUAAAUCGUUAAACAGUUCAUUUUGUCAUCAUAAUGUAAUUGAAUUGAAUCUUGUAAACAUAUACUUUGGUGUAACUUUUUCGAUUAUAUUUAUGAUGGCUGUAUUUACUUUGAGCACUAUUAUACUCGUUGUUGUGACACUAUACAUGAAGUCCUCCACCCCCGGAGGUUUCCGCCAUCCUUGGUUUGGGGGUGUGACAGAUUGGUAUUAGAGCAUUGUUUAUAGUGAACUAAGUAUAUGUAACUUUUAGAAAUAAAUAGUUUUCAAAACAACUAUACUUUUAGAAAUAAAUAGUUUCUUGUUAAAAGUAUACAUGCAUGCAUACAUAAUAAGGACAGCAUCAUUCUAGAAAAAAACAAAAGUAAUGAUUGAUGAAUGGCACAAGUAGGCUUGGGGAUGUAUAGUCAGGUCUGGGAAGGACAUAGCCUGGUCAACUAUGUGUAACCCAGAAGUGAUUAGCAUAUGCCCGAGAAUGGUUGUGGCGUUGCAACAAGUCUAAAAACUUACCAACUCUAUCUACAAACAAACAUUGAAAAGCACAAAUCUAACAUUAAAAUACUAUAGGAGUAUUUUGUAAUACUAUAACCAACUUAUGUGAAAACUAAAGACCCCUAUAAGUAAUUAAUUAUAGAGUUAGACGCCUAGUAGUUAUCUCUUCCACUCCUAUUCUCACACGUAUAACAUAGCCAGAUCCUACUUACCGGAUGACCCCUAAUUUCCCAAUCCAAACCAGAUGAAUGGUAGAUGGUUAUGAGGGGAAUCAGAAGCGGAAUCGGAGGUAAUCAACCCUCCAUGCAUAGCAAGGGUUCCCGCAAACCGUUUCGACUACAUUGAACCUGUGCCCCGUUGGGCAACCGUGAUCGAGGGUUGGAGUUGACAGCAAUGACAACAACCAACAUGUGGAGACCAACAAGGGUGCUAUGACCUCAACCACGGGGGACCGACUGAUAGAGCCCUCCCAGCGAAGACCCGGCAGAUCGCGAACAUCAGGGAUUAAAACAGGUAGACUACAAUCCGAGUUCGGAAACUACGUGCUACUACAGACCCUACUGUCUCAUGUACCCGAGACUCGGAAAGAGACUACUAUUUCGGAGACCAACUCUCUGUUUAGGACCUUAUCGCCACUCGGGCAGAGGCAAGAGAUUAAUGGGAUAGACACACGGCAUUCAAGGAGAGGCGGAUUGCAGCCAAGCAUCGAUUGACAGACCUGCAAGGUGCAUCGACUUUGCCUCAGGCAUCGCAAGGGACGGAUCGUCAUAAGUAGAGUUCAUACCGCUCACAAGACCUUGUAAAUUAGGUUCGUGAGUAUGCGUUGGUGCUACUCUAUUCUAGGCGUAAGCACGACACUGUGAUUUAAGCGGUCAUACUAAACGAGAGAUCUAGUUGCUAUCAAAACUUUUCCAUUCAUAGAUGUGAGGUAAAUCUACAUCCAGGUCAAAAUAAUUUCGCUGAAACCAUAAUUACUAGAGUCAUAUUAAAAAGAUGGGCUUAGGUCAUACGUAACAGACUCGAAGGUCUAUUUAGCCUUAAUUAUAUAACUAAGCAUACAUCAAUUGGUCAUAAUAAGGACCUAGCUUGGGUCAAGUCACAAGGUUUCACUUAGAUACUGAACUACUAAAAAAAAUUCAUGGGUUUACCAUAUAGAGACUCUCAUUAUGAACUGUUUUCAGAAUACCCUUAACAACCGAAAUACGUUAUAAAUUGAACUAAGAUCGAUAAACUUAGUUAGAAAACUCGCGAUGUAUAGCCAUUCUAAAGACUCUUUACCGUCUUUCCCCUUAAAGCUUAUGAUUGAGGGGAUGUUUUCUUCGUAGACCUAUAAGGUGCGAUCUUUUCAGCACUAAUACACUGGGUCCCAUCGAAACUCCUCAUCCAAGUGUGUUGGACAAACAUGAUCCUAAGAUGAGUAAAGCUUAACGCCCGCACGAAACCUACUUAUACCCACUACCAUAAAUUCGUCUCAGGAACGUUAGCAGAAACACUAGGAAUAGUACAGUAAUGUGCAAGAAUUUAUAUAUGUGAAUAUAAAUCAUAAGGAUGCACUUGAGAUAAUUAUUUCCACUGUCGAAGUCGUUUUUCAUUGUGAAACAGAGCUAUGUCUUCACCAAGAGGCAACCAACCAACUAGCAAGGCGCCAACCCUACAAAUAGACUCUGCUACUUUUCAGGUUGCAGUCACAGCUGCCGUGACAGCCGUCAUGGCACAAUUGAAUGCUAACAACGCCAGCAGAGAUGGAAGCGGUACUGACAAUACAGAUUGUUGUAAUAAUCAGGAACACCAAUGAGAGUCUGCUAAUGAAAGCGCCUCACGCCACAAACCUACGAACAAGAAGCGAAAGUUUUGGGACAAAAAGAAGUGUAACCUACCUCAAAAAUUCGCUGGAAGAAAGCAAUUUGUGGCUGUACCUGCCAUUACAACAGUUGUCACGACACAUGCCUCAACACUAGCCACGGGGUCUGCCACCCAAGUCUCGGCCAGACCAUAUAAGGGAUCACUCCCAAAGUGUAACAAGUGUAACUACCAUCACACAGGAGCUUGCCGAAUUUUACACUGUAGCAAUUGCAACAGGAAAGGACAUACCGUCCGUUUCUAUAAGGGCCCAACCCAGCAUCUCCCUUCAAUCACCAGCACCAAGGUAGACCCAGUAUGCUACUUAUGCGGUGAAACGGGACACUUCAAGAGAGAGUGUCCAACCGAGAAGAAUGACAGGGGAGCAGGAUGAGUGUGAUGAACACACCAGCAGGAGAAGCAGGGAACCAUAUUAGGACUUUUGUGUUGUCUCCAAUGACAAAAACGUUUAAGUACCAUAUGUUUGUAUCAAAUUUGGUAUGCCUGCUAAAAUCGCCGUCCUUCUAAAAGUAGUUAAAAUACUCUCUCAUUCAAAUCAAACCAAAGAUAGUCAUAUAUGACCUUAGGAUCAUUACCUGUAAGUUGUGAUGACUUUGUACAUACAUCGGGGUUAAUUAUAAUAAAAAUACUAAAGUCUUGAAACAAAUAACUCCAUCCUGACUUCUAUUCCAUGUCUAGUAGUAGGAAUCGAGUGGGGCCACCCACUCGACAAUUUCACCAACAUCAAAUUACAUACGACGUUCAUCUACCGCUCGAUCAUAGAGUGACCUGUCAAGGAUCAUGAUAUCAAGUAUCAUUACUAGCUAUCGAAACACACCUACUACCAGUGCUAGACACGGUGGUAUGAAUCAUCUAUAAUAAUAAUAAUAUCGAACAAAACGGAACACACUAAAAAGGAACACAAGAUACUCUAUCACUCUAAUGAGCACUUCAUACGAAUACAACUUAACACAUGUUUUACCUAAAGAGAUACUGUUGUCCCCAUUCAAUUUCGACUGGUAUAGUCCUCAUCUUCCCGGUUUAAUGACUAUGGAAAGGACCCUUCACCUAACCCACCGAAUAUCGAAACCUUUGUUUCCUAUAAACACAUCCAGCUCGACCCGUUCCUCAAGUCCCUGGCAUCGGGACCAACCCUGCACACAAAGGUGGUGGUAAAACCGGACCCCAUAAAAGGAAAUUUUCGAAGUGGAUGAACGAGGAAGGCACCCGUGUCCAUGUAACUCUGACUAAACACCUUACUUCCACCACCAAUGCUAGGACGAGCCAGGUAUGUCACAAAUGCGGCGAGAUAGGACACCUUAAAAAGGACUGUCCAAUAAUAAAGAACUCCGGCACGGACAGGAAGAUACUAAGGAUCACUGCCGUAGGAGAAACUACUCUGGACCCCGUUAAAACUAUCUAAGACAUUCGUGGUAACAGACUCGUAAAUUGUUUAAAACUAGUGCAACUAGAGUCUUAUCUUUUGCCAGACCCCGUCAGUAAAGGGACCCUCGUACUGCGUAUACUUGCCUUUGGUAGUAUACCUAGUUCGCAGCAAUAGUCUUGUAGUAAAUCUAUAACACUGUAACUCUGUUAAAAGUUGCAUAGUUGUGUUUUGUCUGUAACGCCUUUGUGAUCAAAUUUAAUGCCUCUAUUUCAAGUGACUCCGAUUUUUAUCAUACGACCGAAGUCCAUUCGAUCCUCACAAUACCAGUUUCGUGCGUAAGUCUCUUCCUCCAAAAUCAUCUUUCUAGUGAAGCUGUCAUUCCAGAACUCCAAAGUACUCAUGCAUAGAGUACCUCAAGUUUCUUAUCCUUUUCCGAAGAAACCUCAACAAGCCUCCCCAAAGUACCGCUCGGGCAGUACGUCAAGUUCAAUCCAAAUACUCGUACGUUUAAUGUAUUGUUGAAGAAUGUAUACGCAAGGGCGGUAUAUAACCAAGGUUCUACAGGUUUAGAAUUAAUGGUUCCCCUUUUUACUCUUUUCCUCAUUGGGAUAUGAGCUUAAAGAAGAAUCAUUUAUUCAAUCACCUUUUCAAUUUUAAUUAUAUACGACUCCAGUAACCAGAUCGCCCUACAGUCUAACCCCCUACCCAGCUGAAAGAACUGUCAGGUCAAACCUAUUGAACUACUCAACAAUGGAAUUGGAGAACCACGCUCCUCACCAUGGAGACCUCCGGUCUUGUUCUACAAAUAGAAAGGCAAAUUGCUCGUAGGUCCGUCAACUUCAGAGGCCUCGACAAUAUCUCUAGUAGAAACCAUUACUAUCUGCCUCGCAUAGACGUAUAGACCGACCAACCACAAGGAACGAGGUACCCUUCAGGAAUUGGACCCGAGAUCAGAAUAUCACCAGUCAUGAGUAUUGGAGAAGGAUGUCCGAGGUCAAUCCUCCAAAUUUGAUGCGGACGUUGCAAGUUCACAGUGAUACCCCUCGGAUAGGACCAACCCGCUCGCAGUGUUCAUGAACUUAAUGAAUAGGGUACACCAUUCUUACUGGGAUCAGUUCGUCAUUGUCCUUGAAAAUGACUUGCUUAUCUACCCUAGUAGUAAGAAGAAAACCAAAAAGAGCAACUACAACAAACCAUGGGAACAAUGCGAUCAUAGAAGCCAUACCUGAGGUUCUCUAGAUACGAGUUUUGGAAUUGAAGAGUCAAAUUCUUGAGGACCCUUUCAAUUAAUCAAAACCGUUGAGAAUUGUCAGCACCAAAGGCGUCGACGGGAACACAACGAAAUUCUGGGUCUCGUUUGUUGGGUUUUGAGCAUUCUAACACUCCUAAGUGUACAUGCAACCCUAAAUACCUUGGAUCUAUGUUUUCUCUAUUAUAUAUGCAAAUAAGAACAUCCAAGGUAUUAUCCUAAUCUAGCAUACAAAACAAUGACUAUAGCAAGAUAGAAUACAUACCUCUUUGAUGUAGAAAGUCUUCAUGAAGCUUGAGUGCCUAGUGCCCCAAGUGUGACACCUCAAAUGGAAUCACAAUCAUCAAAACACUUGGAAUGACUUGAGAGAAUUCUACACUCUUCAAAAUCGGCUAGCCCUUUCUUCACUAUCACUAGUGGCCGAUUUUUCCUCAAUAAUAAGAUGCUUAUAUAGUUACACAAUUAGGGUAAACUCUUAAUUGUCAUGGCUUUCCAUUUCCUUGGAUCCAUGGGUACAAAUACACCAUGGAGCAUCCAUGGACCAUCCUAUGGGUUUUAGCCCAACUUGAUUAUCCAUGGAGCAUUAGCCCACUAUACAAGUAUGGAUGAUUUACACAAUCAACCCAUAUAUUUAAUUAGUCUUCUUUUGAUCACUUAAUUAAUCCUAGAUUAAUUCUUGAUCAAUACUAAUUAAAUAAUCUUAUUAUUCUUAUUAUUAAUAUACUAGAACUUAUAAUAUAUUAAUAACCAUAAGUGUCUUAUUUCUCUCAUUAUAGUCUAUCCAAGUGCAUGAUGGUAUGCAACCCAAAUGGACCAUGCCGGGUCGGGUCAAGUCUUACCAAUUAUAGUUAUGGACUUAGACAUUAAUCCAACAGUCUCCCACUUGGAUAAGUCUAAAACUAUUAUUGCGUAUGACUUCAGGAACCAACUGGCAAUCGUAGCUCUCAAAAGCUUCUGUCGAACUCUGACCUUGUAGAUGAACUCUGACCUUUGUCAAUGACUUGUCCAUUAGAUAAGGGAUCAUAUAUUCCUCCAUUCUAGAUAUCAUAUGGACUGAGACAUGGAUUAUAAUCAUUCUCUCUGUCCAUUUGUUGUUUCCCGAUUUCCGAUUUAUGACGACUGACUAAUUGAACAAAUCAAAUCAGUCCUGGCCCGGCCGAGCACUUCCAUUUGUCAUCAUCAAAUCAUCGAGGGGCCCACAGAUAUCGCUUUUAUCCCGAAGGUAAAAGGAAUGGAUAAACUUCGACUCAUAUGGCUUGUUCUACUACUUGUUGAAUCAUACACAAAGGCACGUUUUAUAGCACCGAGUUACCAAAUGCGUUUUCGUGCAAUCAAUGUACUAUCAACUCAUAGUAACAACUCAUAUCUCUAGGUUUGAAGAAUAUAAGAUAUUAUCGUCUCAUGAUCACUCGUGAUAAAAUCCAUGAAGUGAUUCCAAUGAGCGCGGGUUGAAUCCAAUACUCAGAACUUAUGAGCACUCAUGAGUGUUGUAGCCCUUUGUCCAACACCUUAGACCUCUACAAGCCAACCCAUGACAGUCUUAAUUCAUAUCUACUUCCAACAUAUGACCGACUGUGGAUGGUUUGAAUAACUUAGUCAUUCCGGAAGAAUAACCCAGUUUAUUCGGGAAGUCAAAACAUGCAAAAUGAAACACAAUAAUAAUUGAAUCCAAUAUGGUAUCAACCCUUUGAACAUAAAUAAAACACCUUUUAUUUAUCACCAUAUGAUUACACAUUAUUCAUUGUAUACUGUUUCAGCUAUCAACUUUAUUCUUGAAUUUAAAACAAUAGUUGUCCCAUGCUCCAAGCAUGUACACUAUGUUUUCUUAAACACUAGUCAUGCCACACACCAAGUAUGCAUACUAUGUUUGUCUAUGAUCUUUACUUUGUGAACUAGAUCAAUUGAACAUAACUUCAAUGAUUCUCUUUUCACACUCCCAAAUCCUUACUGCAAAUGCAAGAAUUCCAAAUUCAUGCCAUUUACUGAAAUCUGUUAGAUUCUAAACUUAUAUGCAUUGAUCCUCUUGUAAUGAUUAUGCACAAAGUCACAAAGACUUGGCAACAAUCAUUACAGAGUAUUCCAAAGGAGAUCAACUCCUUGGAAAUAUCCUUCUUGCAUUAAGUUUCCUUAAUCUUACACAGAUUGAAAAUUCUAACUUUGAAACAUUUCCAGAUUCCAUUUUGACUAUCACUUCUGAACAAGAGUUGCCUCCUUACAGAUUAUGUCAAUAUGGUCCUUCCAGAAUUAUCACUAUACUUCCAAUUGUCCUUGAGUAACCAAUCUUUGGUAAACCUUAGAUUGUCCUCGACAAUUGUUUAAUCCUUUUAGUCAUAUCCAGUUCUAAACCUUUUCCCUUCUUAAUGCCCCAGGCAUUUGGAAAAUUUUAGAACGGAUGAAUAUAGCACAUGUAAUCGAUCCUAUAUCCGAAGCAUAUGGGACACGAUUCAUGAUGUCUUACAUAAAGACUAAACCAGUCUUUUGCUAUAAUAUUUCCAUUUCAAUUUGCCAAGUUCUCAUAAUUCAGAUUAUGAAAAGGGAUGCCGUAAUCAUAAUCGAAUUUUAGAACGCAAAUAAUGGACCCAUAUACAGAAUUUCCUUAUGUUGAGCCAUUCCAACAUGAAAUUCAUAUAUAUCCUUGACUAAAUGAUUAAAACCUCACGAUCUAAGCUUAUAGAUUUGAGAUGAAGCAUAAUUUCCUCUCCCUUAAUUAUAGCAAAACAACUUUUUCCCAAUUGAAACUUUUGUUUUCUAUAAUUAACAUUGCUAACUUGCAAUACUUAUCAUAAUUAUCAUGCUCCCACUAACAUGAUGAUUAUUAGCAUAACACUUAUGCUCCCACUAGCUUUGACAUGUACUCAGAAAUCAGCUGGACAGUCUGAAAUUUAGAUUCAUACACCCUUUCCGUAGAUAGCUCACCUGUGUGUCUAAGCAAUUUCAAGAACCAUGAAAAGGGAUACCGUAAUCAUGGUCUCAAUUGCUUAGGCAUUUGCCAUUUCUCACAAGUCCAUGUUAGUGUGCCGGUUAACCACACGCGCUCCACUAACGACUUUUGAAAAUGCAAAUAACACAAUUGAUAUCUUCGUAAAAUCUACUUAGUGAAAGCGUUUCCUCACCAUCAUUUUCAUGAAUCGGAGAGAAACCUUAUGACACUUAGAUUUAUAUGGUGUAUGAGUUCCUACCCAUAUGAAUUUGUCAAACCAUAAUCACAAGACAAAGAUAAUGACAAAUCCAAAACCAUAUGGAUUGAACUCAAUCUUAACUUCUUGCCACCUGGCAGCUCAAGGGCCUGCCAUUGCUUCCAAGUUGUUAUGCAACAAACUGAGAACUCUAAGAACUCAUAUGCAAAGCCAACUUUAACUGGAAUGGGCACAGAUAUGUCAACACGAUAGGUUAUAAACCUCAAGUCGUGUGCUAGUGAAGAACUUUAGGUUUUAUUCUUGAUUAUUUCUUGAGACUUUCAAGACCUUUAAGACUCCCACUGUCCUCUUGACAUAUAAGACUCCCUUGUCAAACAUCCAAGAGAUAGUGCGGAUUCUAAUCAAGAAAAACACUUUACCCAAUUGGCCUAAGUUGGUCUUUGUUUUAUCCAAAACAUCACAACUUACCAAUUUCAAAUGUACAAGAGUAGAAAACUUUUACUCUUACAUUUGACAAGUGUUUUAAACCUUCUUUAAGACAUGUCACUCAAAUGACAAUCUUGGAGUAUGACUCUAAGACUUGUAUUGGAACGAAGUAUGACUCAUCUUCUUGAUUUAACCAUUUCAACAAUUCAAGUUCCUCUUCUUAGUCAUAAGAAUGCACUAAGAUUUCCUUAGAGAACUAAUUUUGAUAUGGUUUCUUAAUCAUUAAGAUGAUCACAAAACUGAUACUAAAGUACUCUCCCAUCUUUUCAGAUUUGAGAAACUUUUAUCCUUCUGCCUUAUUUGAUUCUUCUUAUCGAUCUUUAGUGGUGGACUUAAUCAGUGCACAAGAAUGUGUACUCGAUCCCUAAGUCCUUUACUUGACUCACACAUCCAUGUGAACAAGUAAUUAGUCUUAAUUUUCCAAAACUUGAAAGUUCUCAUUCAUCAUGCUAUACAACUUGCAUGAUUCCAAGUUCCGGUCCAAUUGAAACUUGGGUGAUGAGAAUCUUUCCUUAUUUGGUAAAUUUAGACAUUACCACAAAUGAAAGAAUCAAUUUCAUAUUUCCACUCUUGCUCUUAAUGGAAUCAUAUAAGCAACAAUUUUUCCUCAAAUGCCAUUGUAAGGAUAUUUUAAAAUAAAUAAAAUAAAAAAUUUUCUUUUAUUUUAAAACUUUGCGGAAAAACUUAUCCUUACAAUCCAUAUGAAAACUUGUUGUUAUCUAUUCCUAAGCAAUAUCUCAUAACUCCUAAGAAGUAGCUCAAGAAUCCGAUCUUCAAACUAUGCGAUAGAAAUCCAUCUACGCCAUCAGAUUCAGCAUAUUCUUUCUUUAAGUUUCUUCACUUUUCUUUGAUUCUUAAAACAUCACCAUGUGACCCAGUCACAUCAUGUAUCAAGAAUCUCAGAAUAGAAACUUAACAGAGUUAGAUAGUGGACUUUACCUGAAGUAGAGUCAAACUUAUUGACUUUAACAUCCUUAGGUAAAUUUGGCAGCUUCGCAACCAAUGCCCCUUCCUUUGGCAAUAUAAACAUAUGGACCCUUUGAUAAUGGUACACGGGACUAUCACAGACUUAGCUUUUCUCUUUACCAUUUGGUCAACCGAGUUGACUAUGGCCGAUCCCUUUCCAUUGGGAAGAGAAUGCUUUACUGGAUAUCCAAUGUCAUCAUUGUCAAUGUCCAUAAAGUUUUAGGAAGUUGAUCUUAGCAAAUAGAUAAGAUCAUUAAGGGUCUUGUCAUAGUCUGUUUCAUAGGUGUCCCAAAGGAACUCACUAUGUGACUUAGAAAGUGGUUGAACCACCAACUUUCUCAAGACUUUGACACCCAACUCUCCCGGCUUGUCAAUAUGUGACUACAUCUCCAAGAUGUGACCACACCUAGACCUUGCCUUGCCAAUAGGGCCUGAGUGACCUUAAACUUUUCAAGAACUUGUGGGUUAGGGAGAAUAAUUUGAAGAGGUGAAGAAGUAUGAUAUCCAUGGGACAUCAUCUUCAUUAGGAAACCUUGUUUCAAGAGAUUUGGGAAGAUCAUAGGUGUCUAAACCAGACAUCUUUUGGGAGAUAUUCAAGAUAGUUGAUUUAAAGUCCUUAAUAUGACACCCAAUAUGAAAUAUUAAGGCUAGGACCCAACAAACUAUUUUAUAACUUAGAAGAGGUAUGCCGUAAUCCAAGCUAUAAAAUAUUUGAAGGUAGGUGAAUGACGAUUCACCAAUUUCCACCAAGAUAAACGAAAUGUAUUAUUAGGUUUUAAUUGGUUUUGAAACUCCUAGAUCUUUGAGAUUCAUUGAACUUUUCAAAGGCAUGUUUCAAUCUCGAGUGUGCCCUUCAGGUUUUGUGACUGGGAUGCCGAGGAUCACAAAACAAGGUGUGAAGUAACCAUGCAAAUCACUUGGUACCCUUAAUAAAUUACCCCUCAAUCGAUGUGCCGGUUAACCACACACGCUCCAUCGAUACUAUGAUAAAUAUUAAGUCACCCUUUACCUACCUUGUUAAGUCCAAGUUAGUGUGCCGGUUAACCACACACGCUCCACUAACGACUUAGACAAAGUGUAAAGUGUAAUUUCAUGGAUUAGCACCUUAUUCACAUUUUUCCUAAGUAACUAAGAUUGGGUAUUAUUAAGAGUUUAGUUACUUAGUAUUAUCAUUAAUACUUUUAAUGAAGGGAGAAUUCUAGUCCUGUCAAACCCGUUCGGCUAACGACCCUCCACCAGUCAAGCAAGCGGUGGGUGAGAGUGGACACCCAUUAAGUUGCCAUUUUAUAGGCAACAACCUUAUACCCACCUUAUAGACCGGCUUCGUGAAUGAGGCGUACUAGCGGUAAGACUGACUUUACUCUUAUACAUAUAUAUAUUAUUAACUUAUAAUAUUAUAAAGUAUAAGGGUUGAAUUUUAACUUUUAAAAUUCUAAGGGCUAACUUGGAAUUAAAGUAUUCAUACUUGAAAACUUUUCAAAUUCCAAAACUUGAGGGCAAGUUUUGAAACUAUUCAAAACUAAUUAAUUCCAUAACUUAUGUGUUUAAAGUAGUUUUAAUCCAAAAACUCUUCAAGUUCCAUAACUUGAGGACAAGUUAUGGAAGACUUUAAACUAAUAAAAGAACUAACUUUUUCUUUAUUUUAUAACUUAUGGAUUUAAUUAUGGUUACAUAUUUUUCUUUAAUGAAGUGACUCUUGAACUUCCAUAACUUGAGGACAAGUUAUGGAGUCAAAAAAAAUUAUUCAAUGACACAAGACUCUUCAUUUUGUAACCAUUGCCAACUUUUAUGAGUUUUAUGAGUCUUUAAUGUGACUCUUCAUGUAACUUGAGGACAAGUUACACAAACACAUUUUAUACUCAACUCUUAGAUUAAAAUGGAUUGAAAACAACUAUUUCACUCAACAUUUCUAUUAAUCUAAGCAACUCAUAAGAACAAGAUAAUUCAAAUCAAACUUUUUCAUGUAAUUAGUCUAAACCUUAAACUAAUACAAAACAUGAAUCUAUUGACAAUUAUCUUUGAAAAUGGAUUAGCAUGAACAUUACCACAUCAAAAACAAGUUUAUAAGUUCAAAAACAACUUAGGGUAAUGUUCCUAGUCCAUUUCUAGCCAAAAAACUCGAAAAUAUGCUGUCUGGGGGUCCAACUCGUCGAGUGCAUGAACAAACUCGGCGAGUUGGAUCGAAUUCAUCACUUUUUAGGCAUGGACUCGUCGAGUCUCCUGAUGGACUCGCCGAGUCUGAUGGCCAGACAGCACCAGAUUCGUUUUUUCAGCUUCUAUUGCAGGUAUAACAAGAAAACAAGCCUAGGCUCUGAUACCACUGUUGGGUUUUGAGCAUUCUAACACUCCUAAGUGUACAUGCAACCCUAAAUACCUUGGAUCUAUGUUUUCUCUAUUAUACAUGCAAAUAAGAACUUCCAAGGUAUUAUCCUAAUCUAGCAUACAAAACAAUGACUAUAGCAAGAUAGAAUACAUACC
RNAcentral lists this long non-coding RNA (50595 nucleotides) under Lactuca sativa (garden lettuce). RNAcentral's name for it is "long non-coding RNA (LSAT_LNC002622)". Lineage: Eukaryota; Viridiplantae; Streptophyta; Magnoliopsida; Asterales; Asteraceae. The record is from RNAcentral.